RNAcentral lists this long non-coding RNA (67882 nucleotides) under Sorghum bicolor (sorghum). RNAcentral describes it as "long non-coding RNA (SBIC_LNC014013)". The stretch from base 3862 to 3968 matches the Rfam family "Plant small nucleolar RNA R71". Lineage: Eukaryota; Viridiplantae; Streptophyta; Magnoliopsida; Poales; Poaceae. The record is from RNAcentral.
GUCUCUCUUUUGUGGUAUUUCUGGAUCCUUACCAAGGCAGUGAUGGUAUAUGCCUUCUCUCAAGAUAUGUAGUAUUUGUGGUAUAAGGCAUAGUAACAUUGCCUUCUCUCUCACCCUACUCUAAUAAGGCUUUAAUAUCUGGAGCUCAUAGGUGGGAGAUAAAGUAUACAUACUUACAAGACAUUUAUUGCAUAGUCAAACCAUGGAUCCAAAGAAACAAAUCAAUAAGCCAAAUCAAGAUGUGCAUGUGUGGCGGAUGAAUGAUGUAUGGUGAUGAUAGUGAUAACAAUGAUGAAAACAAUGGUGGUGGAAGUCUAAUUCUACUUUUGCUCUUUGAGGGGAUACAUACCUUCCUUGCUUUUGAAACUUUAUGAGGAGAAUGAGAUGCUCUUCUUUUUCUUUUCUCUCAGGUGGGUAUCUUGUACCCCUAAUUCUACUGUCGGACACUUGUCCAUUUUUACCUCUCGUCUCACUUUUUCUUUUCUUUUGAGGUUCCGAGCACUUGCUCCUUUUUAUUUCCUCGUAUCUCUUUUUUUUUAAUUAGAGCAUUCAUCUCUUGAGAUAAUAUAGCAAGUGGUAGUAACAAGAUAACUUGAGCAUUUAUUUCACAAGGGGAAACAGAAAUAUUUUUGGUUAUUCUCUCCCGGAUUAGGAGUAGAAUAUUUUUUAGGUGGCUCUGGAGAUGGAAUGGGUGGAUGUAUGUGGAUGGUACUUCCGGAGUAGAAGUAGCAUAUAUGAGUGAACGUGCAAGUGAAAUCUUGAUUUAACCACAUGACAAGCUCCUAAGGGUCUACACAGCUUGACCACACUCAAUGCUCAUAAGCAGUAAAUAGUAAAUGUGUGGCUCAAAGUCUAGCAAGCAUGUAUAUAUGGCUAUGGUAGGAAUUUAAACUCUCAACAUACAGGAACUCAUCAUGCAACAUUUUAAAGAUUUUCAAAGAUAAAAUUCUCCAGAAUUCUAGCAACUCUAGGAACAGAUAAACAGCAGCUCAACCUUCCCAUAUCAUAUCCGUUAACAACUUAGACUUUAGAUCAAGUUUUCAUCCCACAAGUUUAGGUCUAGAGCAAGCUUUAAAUUAUAACAGUUAUAUCUAAACUUGAGAGAGAACUUAAAAUAUGCACAUUAGGCAGAGCAACUAUUCAUCAUAUCCAUGCUUAAGUUUUAUUUAGAUACAGAUUAGCAUAGCCACUUUAUUUAUUUAUUAGACACACUAAGAAAAAGAUAUAUAUAUAAGCAUAAAAUCUUUAUUUGGUUUUCCAUAGUUUAUGUGUAUUUAUAUUCUAAAAUAAUAUAAGUAUAAAGAUAGAUAGAAAUAAUUAUCGAUAUAAAUGGGGGUGGUCUCCCCCAAGCUGAAUUUUGACGUAAUUUCCCUUGAUGUAGCUAGCAGGUGGCAGAGGUGUAUUUGAAAGUCAGCAGCAUUCUGACAGCGAUUAGAAUGUCCUCCGUCUGCUAGUCUUCUUAAAUUCUGUGGAGCUCAAAUAGACAACAAAGCUUGUGGAACUGGUUAAGUGUUAGCAUAAAUAUCUAGCCUUUAUCAUGUUGAGAGUCCUUAAUAAUUGUUACUCCCUGUUUUUAUAUUUUCAUUGUUAUAAAGCGGAAAAAUAUUUAUUUUAUUUUUAUGCCACCACAGUGAAUAUACUUAUGGGUUUUAUGCCACUCGUCUACUCACAUGGGGCUUACUAUUUUUCACAUUUUUAUUUUCUUUUUAAGAUAGUAUGAAUAUGAUUAACUAAGUAAAAUAAUUGAAAUAAUUGAAAGGGAAAGGAUAACUACCAAGUUUACCUCUUGGCAAGGCGUUCGAUGUUUUUAAGUCCUCCGAACGGGACUCUCCAUCUUCUUAAUCGUCCUGAGGUUUGUUGGGUGGCGUAGUCGGUACUUCCGGCAAUGCCUCCUCUUCUUGUAUAGUUAUCUUCAUUUUCCAUACCUGACUCGGAGCUUCCGUCUCCUCUGGAUAAUUCUGUUUAAACUCAACGUCUUCUUAUCUUACAACUUCUCCUUCAUAGUCUGCCCAUCCGUCCUUGAUGAUCUGCCUCCUCUGGUUGCGGUUGCGUCUCUUUCUGACCUGCUUAGAUUCUUCAACGAUAUAGUUAGGGUCAGUAAAGUAACGGCGUACCUUCUCUAAGGGGAAGUGCAUAUGGACUUCUCCGGUUCCAAUAUAGAUAAUUGCUUUAACGGUGCUGAGGAACGGUCUUCCAAUGAUGAUGGGUGGAUCAUAUUCGUCUUCUCCCAUGUCAACAACUUGAAAGUCUGAGUAGACAAAGUGAUCAUUUAUUUUGGCUGGGACAUCAGUUACUGUUCCUUUAACUUCUCGAAAUGUCUGAUCUGCCAUCUGGAGCUGAAUGUAUGUUGGUCUUAGUGGCAUGGUCCCGAACAAGAGCCGAUAGGUGACUGCGGCCAUUAUGUUGACGCCUGAUCCGGUGUCGCAAAUUGUCUUGUAGAAGUUGUAUCCAUUUAUUGAGCAAUAGAUGCUUGGCAUUCCUGGGUCGUCCUUCUUGGUUAAAAAUGGUGACUUAAGUUGAUGAUCUUGACCUCCAUGAACUACAGUGACCAUCUUCGCUGACUCGGUCCGCACUUGCUUGUUCCUGUUUCUCCUGUUGGUCCUCUUCCUUGAUUCACGUCUGGAUUGAUCUUGAAUUUGUGUAGUCUUGUUCUUGAAGAAAAAUGUCUUCUUCUUCCCUUUGACGUAGAAACUGAUCUUGGCAGCACUGGCGUAGAUGAUAGCUCCCGUGGUGUUCAAGAAUGGCCUCCCUAGGAUGAUGGGUGCUCUCUCAUCAUUACCGGUCUCUACCACUACGAAGUCUGCUGGGGCAUAUAAGGUACCAACUCGGACACAAAGGUUCUUCACUAUUCCUUUUGGGAAAGUUAUCGUCUGAUCUGCAAACUGCAAACACAUGAUUGUUUCUAAUAAAGGAUAUGUAAAGAAUUUUUCAUAGAGUACCCUGGGUAUAAUGUUGACACUGGAGCCAAAGUCACAGAGUGCUUCUGGGACAUCCACCAUGCCGAUGGAAAUCGGGAUGACGGGGCGUCCUGGAUCUCCUCUCUUGACCGGCAGAAGGUCAGUAGAGAAUUCAUUGACAGGGUUACUCCAAUUACCUGCAUCAGACAUGUCUACAAGAUUUGCAGAUUCUAAUCCUUCCGGUUGUGAUGGUAUACCGGGGUUAGUAGUAGGAACAGCAGCAGCUAUUUGAUUUAACUGAGAUUCAAUCAUUUUAUUAAAGCUAAUUUGAUUCUUGAUGGCAGUUGAGAAAUUAUCCAUUCUAUUAUUUAUAUUUUCUAGCAUUUUAUCAUUAGAUGCCAAUUUCUUAGAUAGAUUAUCUAUUAGCUUUCCUUGAUUAGACACUAACUCUCUCAAAGGUGGAAUAUUAUUAUUAUUGUUGUAAGAAUUGUUACCUUGAUAAUUACCUGAGUAGUUAGGCCUCUGUUGAUUCCAACCUUGAUUUUGUUGAGGACGGUUGUAGUAGUUGUUGUUGUUGUUGUUGAUGUAGUUCACAUCCUCAAGUAUCUCAGGGCAGUGGUUGCCUGAGUGUCCAGUGUCUCCACACUCCUCACAAGUCAUGUGAGAGUCGUAGAUGUGCAUAACUUCUUUCUUAUCUCCAGCUCUAUCGUCUAGCUUCUUCAUGAGCAGGUCUAGCUUUGCAGACAGCAUGUCUACCUCUUUCAGCUGAUGCAUACCUCCACUUCUCUUGCGUGUCUGAGUCCGCUCUUCAUUCCAGCUCUGAUUGGACGCCAUCUUCUCCACAAGAGCUGUGGCUUGUGGUAUAGUAAGUGAUAAGAAUGCUCCUCCAGCUGCAGCAUCCAAGGUCUCUCGGGCACUAUUGCUGAGCCCAUGAUAGAAUGUCUGCAUCAAUAGCCAACUCUCCAUUCUAUGAUGGGGACAUUCUAGGAUGUAGUCUUGAAAGCGCUCCCAUGCUUCUGGAACAGAUUCAUCAUUUUGUUGCUGAAAACUUGUAAUCUUCCCACGAAGAGCAUUGGUCUUGCCCAUGGGAAAGAACUUAGCCAGGAAGUUAGUUGAGCAGAGUGCCCACGUAGUAUUCUUCUCCUUUGUAGCGUAAAACCACUGCUUCGCUCUUCCUAACAGUGAGAAUGGGAAGAGGCGAAGUAGUAUAGCAUCUUUGGAAACUCCUGAUAUGGUGAAUGUGUUGCAAAUCUCCAGGAAGUGUUGUAAAUGAGCACUAGCAUCUUCGUGUGCCUUCCCACAGAACUGGUUGGAUUGCACCAUGUUGAUAAGUCCAGGCUUGAGCUCAAAGUUGCCAUCGAUCUCUACAGCAGGUCCAGUGCGGAUGUUGUCUGUAGUGGGGGCUGAGAACUCGCGGAUUGAUUUGUUCGCCAUGGCUUCGAACUCUGAAGACAAGUUCCGGUGAUCUUCUUGAUUGGAUGAAGCUUCUUCGUGAAGUGUUGAUGAUCUCUUCUUGAGCUUGGCUCUCGUCUUCUUGAAUAAUGCUUCGGGAUUGUCAACAAAAUUUCCUGGAAGAUGUCUUCUAUUCAUACAUUCCCCUGCAUAAGAUAAAAUAGAAAAAUAUCGGGGUAAAACUGUAUAAGAGAAUAGAUAAGCUCAAUCAUAUUAGUGAUGCGAAUGAUAACUCAAAAUCUUUUAUUCUAUUCCUGAUUGGUAAUGAACCUUCCCCGGCAACGGCGCCAAAAAUGCUUGUUGGGCAUUCUUAACAUCAUUGCCAAAAGUAGACUAAGUUCUCUAAAUCUAGUAAUGGUGCCAAAAAUGCCAAACCUAUCCCUUACACCACUUAAGCCAAAUUGUCAUCCCCAGCAUGAUAUAAGAGACGCGGUAUUGAAAUAUGCAAUUCCUCUUCUAAAUAAAUAAUGAAUGGGAUCUGCAAGCGCACAGAUUAAUACCGAUGCAGCAUUUUAACCGGGAAGUAUUCCAGGUAUCGUUAUUUAUAUUUUUACCACUAGGAAGGGAUUAAUCAAUCAUCAAUAUUGAUUACAGAAUAGCAUAUGAGAUUGAGCAUCUAUCAUUGCAUGUAUAAUUGAGAACAUUAUAUCUAACUCUUCAUACAGGGAUAAGUGUCACAUAAAAGAUAUAUGAAAUAAUAAUAGUGACAAGGAUAACUAAUCUGAUCUAGCCACAUAAUAAAUAUGAUAAGCACCUCAAUUAGAUACUCUAGAAAGUCAUUAGCAUUGUAUUAGAACGAACUACAAGAAUAUUCCCUAAGUUAUUCUCAACUAUAUAGUCUAGCAUUAUCAUAGUUAGUGCAAGCAUACUUAGCAAUCAUUGCGAGACAAGACUACGCCCAUGCAUAGUGAUAUUAGCAAGGAAUAUGAGAAACAUAGCAAUCACUCCCCUGUAAUAAUGUUGCUCUGCCAGUCCAAUACACGAGAGGGGGACUAUAUAAGAAUCAAUGAAGCUGUCACUAUCACGAACUACCCCACGAUUUGGCAUAUUGGGUACAAUCGCAGAUAAAUACGGUAUAAGCACCACGCCUACACAAUAUCUAUCAUUUACCCAUGGAUCCGAUGGAUAAAUGCUAUACGAUCCUAAGCAUGUAUAUAGAUCCAAUCUAACUAAGCCAAGUACAUAACUAUGAUAAACUAAGAAUAAUAUAAUCUUGAAUAUAAGCAAGUAGAGCAAAGUCAUAAGCAAUAUAUUGAAGUAGAACAAAGUCAUAUUCAUAAUAUUGAAGAACAAAGAUAAUUAGAAAGUAAUUAGAAGCACAAUUAGAAGAUUACCAAGAAUCCUCCUGACAGAUCCGGAAACCAAUCGAAGAUUGACUCCUUCUAGUUCUAAUCCUAUGUAGCUAUGCUAAUCUAGAUAUCUAAUUGAUGUGGUGGCUCUAAUCUUGAUCAGAGGCUUCUUCUCCCUUGAUGGAACAAUGAAUUAGGGUUGAGAGGCUCUCUCCUCCAGGGGCCAGGGGGUCUGGUUUUAUAGUCCCUUCAAGUGAAUAUGGGCCCUUGGAUCAAACCGACAUAGAUUGUAUGGUUUAGAUUCAUCCUUUAGGUCGGUGGAGAUCUCCCGCAAAGCAGAGUCCUGAUUGGACUCAGGGGCAGGGCGGGCGCCCUGACCAACUGGGCGGCCGCCCAGGGUCUGGCCCCGUUUCACCUCCGCUUCGGUCUCGUGGCUUCUGGAGUCUUCUAGAUGUAAGAUAAUUGCGCAGCACGUUAAUAUCUUUACGUAAUCCCGACAUGUGGGCCUUUCUUCCGUAUUUCCUGAUAACCCCCUGCAGAAAUAGACAAACACCAAAACUCGUGGAAUUCUGUCAGAUAAAACCCUAAGUCUGGAUGUUGAUUUCAUUUGGAUCCUUUUCUUUGUUUAUUUGAUAAUUAAAUUUGAUACUUAAGGACCGUCAACAUUCCGCACCUUGCGAAAGUUGCUAACCACUGCUCCCGUUCUGGCGCAACCCAAUAUCAAGAAGCCUUUUGAUGUGUUUUGCGACGCGUCGAAAAGUGGCUUAGGGUGUGUGUUGAUGCAAGAUGGCAGAGUUAUAGCUUAUGCUUCACGACAGUUGAGAAAGCACGAAGUCAACUACCCAACUCACGACCUCGAGUUAGCAGCAGUAGUGCACGCUUUGAAGAUUUGGAGACACUAUUUGCUGGGAAAUAAGUGUCAUAUCUAUACCGAUCAUAAGAGCUUGAAGUACAUCUUCACUCAGUCCGAGCUGAAUAUGAGGCAACGACGAUGGUUAGAGUUAAUCAAGGACUAUGAUCUGGAAGUUCACUAUCAUCCAGGCAAAGCUAAUGUAGUAGCAGACGCUUUGAGUCGUAAACCGCACUAUCAGGUGGUUCAACCGUUGUUUGAAGAUGGUUUUAACCUCAUGCAUCCUGAAGUCUUAUGUCACAUACAACAUAGUUGUUCGCUCGAGAGUCAAGUCAUUGAAGGUUAGAAAACAAACAAGGGUAUUUUCCACAUCAAAGAGAAGAUCAAAGAUGACCCAAAAACUCAGUUUCGAGUUGAUGAAAAAGGGGUACUGUGGUUUCAACAUCGGUUAGUAGUCCCGAAGGAUCGGGAAUUGAUGAAUCGUAUCAUGGAUGAGGCCCAUCUCUCUAAGCUUUCUAUUCAUCCUGGUAGUAGUAAAAUGUAUCAAGACCUAAGACCCCACUUUUGGUGGACCAAGAUGAAGAAAGAAAUAGCCGCAUAUGUGGCCCGUUGUGACACGUGUUGCAUAGUUAAGGCCAUCCAUAUGAAACCUGCAGGUCUGUUGCAACCGUUAUCUGUUCCAGAGUGGAAAUGGGAAGAGGUCAGCAUGGACUUUAACACAGGUUUACCAACCACGAGGAAGGGGAAUGACUCGAUUUGGGUAAUCAUAGAUCGAUUAACCAAGUCGGCUCAUUUCAUCCCAGUUAAGAACACAUACAGACCUCCCGAGUAUGCCGAUAUAUAUAUGGCUAAGAUUGUCAAGUUGCAUGGUAUUCCCAAGACCAUCAUAUCAGAUAGAGGACCACAGUUCACCGCUCACUUUUGGGAGCGAAUGCAUAAGAGUUUGGGGACCAGUCUAAUAAGAAGCAUCGCGUAUCAUCCCCAAACCUCAGGUCAAACUGAGAGGCUAAAUCAAGUGUUAGAAGAUAUGCUGAGGGCCUGUGUGCUAUCGUCCAAGGGAUCACGGGAGUCAUGGUUACCUCUGGCUGAAUUCUCAUACAAUAACAGCUACCAAGAGAGUUUCAAGAUGGCUCCGUUCGAAGCUUUGUAUGGUCGAAGGUGUAGAACUCCGUUAAAUUGCGUUGAACCUGGUGAAAGGAGAUACUACGGUAUUGACUUCGUGAAUGAAGCAGAGAAAAAGGUGUAAAUCAUACAGCAGCAUAUGCAAGCGGCACAAUCGUGACAAAAGAGCUAUGCUGAUAAGAGGAGAAGGAGAAGGCCACUUGAAUUCAAAGUAGGUGACUAUGUGUACCUCAAGGUUACGCCAAUGAAGAAAGUUCAACGUUUCCGAGUUCGAAGCAAGCUUGCACCCAGAUAUGUGGGACUGUAUCAAAUAAUGGAGAGGAAAGGCCCCGUGGCCUACAAGGUUCAGUUGCCUAAAGAAUUGAGUUCAAUCUUUCCGGUCUUCCAUGUGUCGCAACUACGGAAAUGUUUGAAAGUGCCUGAACAGAGGAUUGAACCUCGAGGGAUCAAAAUAAAAACAGACUUAGAGUAUAAAGAGCAGCCAGUGGAAAUUGUGGAUACCAAAGAACGAGUAACCCGAAACAGAGUUGUCAGAACAUACAAGGUGGAGUGGAGUCAUCAUGACGAUCGGGAUGCCACCUGGGAAACUGAGGAUUAUCUAAAAACAGUUUAUCCAAAAUUUCAUAAGAAAUGGUUAGUAACCCAAAUCUCGGGACGAGAUUUCCCUAAGGGGGAAGGGCUGUAACACCCUAGGUGUUAAGCAUGCACUUAGCCUUACCAAAGCAAUGCAUAAGCAUUCUCGUCAAGCAUAGCAUCAUGAGCAUGUCAUUCAUCCCAAAAUAUGAUUUUAUGUGUUUUAUUCCAUGUGCUUUAAAUAUGUUAAAAAUAUGAUGCUUGCUUCUAAAAUUGUGGAAUAUUCAAACUAGGUUGAUUUAUGUGUAAGAAGGUUUAAAAAUAUUUUUGUGCAAUUUUUGGAGCAAUAGAAUUUGAGAAAUGGAAUUUAUACAAAAUCCCCAAAAUGAAUUUAUUUGAAAACCUAGAACUAGUUUUAAUUGGUAAUUCAAAUUCUACUUGGAAUUUGGCCUUGCUUAUUAAAAUAAAGUUGUAGGGUUUUUAUUUUGGAACAACUUUGCUUUAGGGAGAAAGAGGUGAAAAUGAUUUUAAAUUGGUCCAAAUGAAUUUAGAAAAGAAUUUGAGAAAAGAAAUUCAAAAAAAAUGGAAAAGGGGCAGGCGCUGCUGGGCCAACCCCGCCUCCCUUUCGGCCCAGACAGCGGCCCGGCCUACCUCCCCCUCCCCCUCUCUCCCACGCGCGGACGCCCGCCUCGUCCCAGCCAGCAUCGGCCACGUGGCGGCCGUACGCCGGCGAGGAGCGUGCCGCGGCCGACCGGCUUCACCUGAUCGGGACGCCGGCCCGGGCUCCCAGGCCACUCCAUUCGCUCUGUCGCCCGCGUCUCUCUCCCUCCUCUCUCCACUUGCGAGCGCAACCGCAGCCGUAGGAGCUCCGCCACAGCGCCAUCGCCGGAGCAGCUCCGCUGCUCACCGCCGGCCACUCCAGUGCCCCAAUCUCGAUGCCGAAACCACCAGCGCACUCGCCGUCGUCGCGGUAAGCUCCUGCGAACGCUCUACCGAGGUGAGAGCCCGUCGAACGCCGUGAAUCGCUCGUCGGACUUGCUCCGACCUCGCCGGAGAGCUCCGCCUCAUCGAACCUCGCUCGUUUCUGCCCCGUUUCGCUUGCUUCUUGGCGCGUUAGAUCCGUAGUGCGACGGGGAAGCUCGGAGGAGCCCUUGCGCAUGUUCUACCGCACCGGAGCAGCCUGGCCACGGCGAGCAGCACCGCCGUGCCGCCAUGCAUGCUCGUCGGAGGUACUCCGGCCAUCCUCCGGCCAACCCGAGGGUACCGCUGGGUGCGCCUCGCUGCGGGGAGCACGAUGGUGCUCACCCCGUGGCCGGGAACCUCACCGCCGGCGACAUCUGCUCGUCGGAGGUGCUCUCCCUCUCGGUCUCGCUGACCAGUGGGGUCAGAGGCCCACUGUCAGUCGCAGGGGGACCGUGUUGGGUGUAGAUCUAGGUGUCUUUAGCGUUUUUGAUCCCGUUUUCCAAUUGAUUUUCAGAAAAGGUUUUCCAGAAAUCAAUUUAAAACUUGUAAAAUCCAUAUCUUGAGUUCUACAGCUUCAAAUUUGAUGAAAUAAAUUUUGGUGUGCUCUAUAUUUUUAGAUCUACAGUUUGAUGUAAUUGCAUGUCAUGUUUGAACACUUUUUCUGGACAGAAAUAAUUAAUCCAUGCUUUUGCUAAACUUAGAAAAUGCAUAGUAAUUAAAAUAUGGCUCAGAAAAAUGUGAAACUUGAUUUGUUGGCUCUGCAUGUAUGUUAACUCACUGGAAAAAUAUUGCUACACAUUAUUUGGUGUAUAAAUGAAUUUAUAGUGAUUUAAAUGCUUGUAUGGCAGUGGUUUAUGAUUUUUAAUAAAGAUUUGGAUCAUGCAAUCAGUCUGGAAAUUUUUGUGGAUGUUUCUUAUGAUAUUAGACAAAUUAUAAAAAUAUGAAAUCUGCUCUUUGACACUUAUACCACAGUAGAUUAAUUGUACUUGCCUUUAUGUAAUAAUCUUGUGAUUUUUGUAGCUCAAAAUAAGUAUCGAAAAAUUAUGAAAAAUUUAUAGUAGACUUUAUGCUUGACUUGAAGUCUCCUGUAAUUUUUGUGGAAAUUAUAGAUGAACAGAACUGCAUGCAAAUUUUGAUGGGCCUAGAAAUGAAUAAAGAAAAUUAUGAAUUGUUAUAUAUGGGUUAAAUAGAAUAAAAAAGGGUUUGGUGUAUUUUUGAAGCAUCAUGUGGGUUGCUGGUUACACUUGAAAACAAUUGGUAGAAGAGAAUGCAAUAGAUGUUUAAUUCAAUUGUCUGUUCUAGGAUGAUGUUGACUACCUUGUAAUGAGCAUGACCAAGUGAAUCACCUAUGCAUCAUGUCAUGAUCAUUUGGUACCUUCUCAUAUAAGCAUCCACUCGGGCAUCUCGCACUCCACUCAUGAGCACACAUGCAUCAUACAGGCUCGCAGGAGAACGAGGUGGGACCCGAGGGGCCAGAGGAGAUUCAGGAGCAGGAACCUCCGGAAGCACCGGAACCCGGAGAGGAGCUACAGGAGUGUCCGGAUCACCGGCCCAGCACGUUUGAGAAAGGCAAGGCCCGGAGCAUUCUAAGUCUCCCUAUUCUCGCUAACUUACAUGAUAUACUAUGCUUGUUCUACUAUACUGCAUUUAAGUGAUAGGAAUUGCUUGAUACCGUUGAUGCAUAUGCACUCCUUGUUAUCCCUACUCGUUUAUCUACCUUGUCCUAUGUAGAUAGGCGCGGAGUCUAUGCUUAGCUUGCUUAGUCCGGUAGAAGUCGGGUGAUUCCCUGUCACCUGCGAGAUAUAGGUGGAUACCUGCCUGAUUAAGCAGUGGUUGCUUUGGGGAAAAGAAUAACCAAGUACAGAAUGGAAUUGGAGACCGGGCAGGGUCUUAUGGUGGGUUGACCAUAGUGCCCCUACCUGUGUCGAUUAAGGACUGAUCGUUGACGGCCCUCUUGUCAUGUUGAACGCAUGCCCCACAUUUAGCUAGAAGGAUAAGUCGUUCCGACCGCGAAGCCUGAGCACUAUCUGGGCCGGGAAUCGGCCCGAUGUACGCGCUGUAUUGGUGAUGGUUGAGGAGAACGACGAGGGCGCGGCGCGCAACCUUGGUAUACCUUGAAUACCUCGGUCGCCGGAACGGUCCUCGGGUACGGGCGGUGCCUGUCGAACCCGCGAAUUGGUCCUGGAUAGUGCAAUACGGUGAUCUGUAGCUCACUUGAUUAGUGAGUGUGGUUUGUGUGGGGAAUAAACUCGCCAGCUGGUUAGAAAUCGAUUCGAAUCGCCAUCGCUCCUGGAUAGUGAGCACUUGACAUGAGCUUCGUCCUCGUAGUAAGGACUAUGGAACACUUGGGUUAUAAUGAUAAAUGGUUUUAAGAAUGCUAUGAUGAGGUACUAUCAUAUCACUAUACUUGCUUGUAAUAGUGCAGGGGCAAACCUAGAUCAUAGGUAAUGAUACUUUCAACUUGAGCAAAUUACAAGAAGAAAGAUUUAUGUAGGUUAAUAAAAUCUUGUGGUUAUGCAAAAUGGUUGUCAGCUACCCCACUAUAUAGCCUUCAUGAUCCUUGAAGAGUCUUUAUUUUAAGUUUAUGACGGGUAAGUCUAGCUGAGUACAUUCUCGUACUCAGGGUUCUACUCCCAUGUUGUUUUGCAGAUGGUCAAAUGUACUAUGGUUAUUGCAUCCUCUGUCUGUACCCAGCCAUGGGUGAUCACUAGACCAAGGGCGAUGGUCACUCCAUCUUCUCUUCUGCUUUUAUGGGAAUGACCGAACUAUGGCACUGUAUCAGACUAAGUGUGUGUGUGUUGUAUUUUCGAACUAUGAAGCUUCCGCUACUUGAAGAACUUGGUUUGUAAUAAUUUUAAGAACUCUGAUGUAUUUUAUGAAUGUGGUAAUCUGGAUGUAUUUGUGGAUGGCGACCGCUAAACUUAUUACGAUCUUGGCUGUCUGUACGAUAUGUGGUUUGAAAUCCUUCGAGAUUUCACGAACUACCGGGAUUAUAUGGGCUUAAGCUCGAUGGUUUGACUAUGUAAAUGGUCACUGUUAGGCUUAAUCUCUUAUAAUUUGGUCGGUUCUGUUACAACGCCCACGAGGUCUCCUCUAUCGCCUACCUCGAGGCCAUCAUGAUUACGCUACAAAGGAGCUUCCUGUUUCUCCUGCUGGCGCUGCAAGACAACAUCAGAAAGCUGUUCCUGCUGCUCAACAUCAACAAUGCCAAUGGCACCAAAAUUGAGGACAUGUGAGGUGAUUAUUAAAAGGAUUGUAAUGACAUGUCAAAAAGCGGUUCACUGUUGUGCCUACUUGAUAGUGGGUUGUAAAGAUAUUAUGUAAUAAUUAAUUAUUUGAGACUUUUUUACAUUAGAGGAUGAAGCUAGUUACCUAUAAACAUGAAGAGUCGAUGGCGAAGUCGAAGAAGAUCACCAAUGGGCGCCCGUGACGUCGAUUCAAACUAUAUCCAUUAAAUUUGAGCUCAAAACAAUGACAGCGAUAUCACAAAGACAAAAACAACAUGAAAAUGACAAGGGAGGAUGAAGUUAGUUACCCCUAGACCAAGGGAAACAAUGGCAGCGUCAAAGAUGAUCACCAAUGGGCGCCAGAGAUGAAGAACAAGCAAGAACAAGCAAGAACUAGCAAUGGUAAGAGCAAGUACAGCUCACUGAAAUUUGAAUGGGCUCGGUCUCGACCAAGAAGAAGUGACCAUGUUUUAUAGCGUGGGCUUUUAGUCCCGCGCUAAAGAAAGAACAAGGACUAAAAGGGGUCCUCUUAGUCUAGAGACAAGCCACCAACCGGGGCCAAAUCUUUAGUCCCGACUGGUGGCUUGCCUCAGAACUAAAGGGACACCUUUAGUCCCAGACCGUAACACGAGCCGGGACUAAAGGGUCCCUGCCCCGACAGCCCUGUCAGGUAGUUGUUAGGCAGCCGUUGGGCAGGACCCUUUAGUCCUGGCGCAUGUGAUGAGCCGGGACUAAAGGUCUUUUUAAUCCUAGGGCGCAAAGAAGCCGAGACAAUUGUAGAUUUCGGGCAUCGUCCAAAGCCCUAUUCUGUAGUAGUGUUGGUUGUACAUAGGAAUAUAUUUAAAGAGGAGGAAAAGACACUGCUACAGAAUGGUGACAUCAGAAAAGCAACACACCUGAAGGUUCGGACGUCCGAAAGUGACCCCAUGAAUGUUCAGAUUAGGUUCGGUCAUCAAAAAGAAGUAAUUAUAACUCUCAACUCCGUGAAGGUUUGGAGGCCCAUAAGGACAUUUUUGAAAGCUCAUAAAGUCCACUUUCCAAUGUCUUAAUCCCCACAUCAUUUGGACAUCGCAAUCAAGAGUUAUGUUUGGAUUAGUCAACUCUACUUAGAAGGUCAAUAGUUUGUCGUGAUAGAAUGUUGGUUCAACUUGCAAUGCAUAACUGUACCAAUCUAUAAUGUUUCAUGGUUCAUGGAAUAUAUUACUAGAAAUCUCUUAGAGUCUAGUUUCACAUCCAAGAAACGGUUCAUCAUUUGGACUUUCCAAUAAGGAGUUAUGGUCUGUUUAUUGGAAACUGCUCUGGAGGCCAACAGUCACGUGAAACAACUUCGGGAAUCCAUUCCGAGGGGGCCUUUCACAUUGCCUUCCCUCAGAAACUCCAUUUUGUUUUCAUAUGUUUCUAGGAGGGUUGUUCCUAGUAUAAAUAUUCCCUGCCUCUAAGCUAUUAGGAACCUUUGAUUAUUUGAUAAACUAUAUGAUAUUGUAGCCACACUGCUGAGUGUCUUACUCAACCUUUGUUCUUCCUUGUUCUUCUUGGACUUGUGAAGUGAAUCCUCUGGGUUUCCCUACUUUGUGCUCUAUGGCUUCCAUUUGGCUGCACCAUAUUGUGUGGAUUAGUUUUGGAUUGUGGUUCUGUGAUCGUUUGGAGAUCGAGUCGAAGUCUUCAGGGUUUCGGUGCCUCUCUCCCUAUCGCUUGGUAGCAUCCAACCUUUGUCAGGUAUAAAGCAAGUUACCCGUUGUUCACAGCAUGUUAUCUUUGUUCUUUUGAUCUACUAUCGUGAAGAUUGGGCCACCUAUAAUAUCCAGGCCUAGGGCUUAAUAGAAUUAAUACGAUACUCAUACCAACAAGUUACAACUUUUUUUCCGGACGCCCAUCUCCAAAGAACUCUAAAGUUAAGCGUGUUUGGCCUAGAGAAAUUUAGGGAUGGGUGAUCGACCGAAAAGUACUUCUCGAAUGCACAUGAGUGAGGACAAAGUAUGCAGAGAAGACUCGUGUUGGUAUGUGAGGGCUGACUAUGUCCUAGAAAAGCUACCAGAUAUAAGUGGGCUUGGCCUCAUGGAGGCAGGACAUUACAAAAUGGUAUCAGAGCCGACCCUUGUGAUUUCAUGGGCGCGUGUGUCACAGUUAUACAGGCAUGGUGUGCAUGGCUGGUGUGGACCUAGAAUGGUCACACAGCAUGGCACAUGCGCAGGCACUGGAUGCACGGACAUGGCCAAGAGGGGACGUUCCUAGCUUGGGGUUGAUCGAUGAGGACGUCGAUCUCUUAAGGCGGUGAGGAUGUAACAUCCCCGCCCAGGGCUUAAUAGGAUUAAUUAGAUACUCAUACCAAUAAGUUGCAACUUUUUUUCAGAAGCCCAUCUCCAAAGAACUAUAAAGUUAAGCAUACUUGGCCUAGAGAAAUUUAGGGAUGGGUGACCGACCGGAAAGUACUUCCCGGGUGCACAUGAGCGAGGACAAAGUGUGUAGAGAAGACUCGUGUUGGUAUGUGAGGGCUAACUAUGUCCUAGAAAAGCUGCCAAAUGUAAGCGGGCCUGGCCUCAUGGAGGCGGGAUGUUACACCACCCUCGUGCCGAUUCAUACCUAUCAACUAGUCUCAAAGCUUUCGUUGUCACGGUAGGUCUCACAAUAAUCCACAUUUUUACCUCUAGUUUAUCUAUCGUUUGUUACUCAUUUGUUCAUCACCUAUAGUCCACUAAAAAAGCCACAAAAAAUUUCUAUAGCCCUUUGUCGGUACUAUUAUCUUGUGUUUUUGUGUUCAUCAAGUUGCUAGUCACCAUCUUUAUAUAUAUUAUGUCAUGUUUUAUUUGUUAUCCACACCCCUCUUAGUAUAAAGAGAGUUAAAAAAUCAGAGAAAAAAGUUUAAAGAAAAGAAAAGAGAGAGAACAGAAAGAUCCAAAGAAAAGUAAAAGAAGAGGAAAGGGGUUGUAUUGUGGUUUGUUCACUAAAAUUUUCAGUUUACAUAUUCAGAUUCUUGGUGAUUUAUAUACCAGCAACAUUGUUGGUAUAAAUUAACUGCACCCUAUAUAAUAAUUAUAAUUAGAUUAUCCACAAGCACACAGAUAUAUACUGAUCAACACUUCACCAAGAUCAACCCAGUUUUAAUAUCGAACCUAGAGGAAAAGUAGGUGAUUUAUGACCUAGCCUAUAACUCUUAAUCUAAGGGGGGUACAGAUAAUCUAGAAAACUAUUGAGAAUGAGGAGAUAAAUAAUGUACUCUAGUUGUAAUAAUCGGUAAACUUUGUAUAAUAUCGUCUUAUCACACAAGUAACCCGAAUAGGAGAAGAAACAGAGUAAUCUCCUACCAGGCACCUAUAAGCCUAUCAGUCCUAUCAAUGGGAAGUGGACUACACAGAAUUCAAUGUAGCUAUAAAGUCACCUACGUGAGCUACCACUGUCCAGCUAAUCAGGGGGCAUCUACAAGCAACCAUAGCCUAGACACCACGUCUAUGCUACAAAUCACUACUCUGACCUAGGAGCUACCCAAAUCAAAGUACUCAAUAUAACAUGAGUUGCAAACCAAAGAAUGAAUAAAAACAAAUUACUAACUUGAAUCAGAAUGGUAAAUACAAAAGUACCACAGAAUGUAGCUCCGGGCGAGGGAGCCGAAUCCAGAUGAAUACAGCUCCUAAGGAAGCUCCGACAGGCCGAGACUCCUCCGAAUCUCUACUCCUCUACUCUAUCUCUCUAAUAUCUAUCUUGAUUGCUAGCCUAGAUCUAGCGGAUCUCUAUCUAAUGCUCUGACUCUUCAUCUCUUGAUCUGGCCUCCUCCCAUGGUGUCUGGCUCUUUAUUUAUAGCCUGGUGGGAUGGAUACACGCUGUUGGAUCAAACCGACGUAGCAAGCGGCCAAGAUGGCUCCUCGGAGGCGGUGGAGGAAGACUCCAGAAGGGGGCGGCCAACCCUAACCCUAGGGGCCGCCCGAUGCAGGGGUGGGGCCGGCCGGCCCCACUUGGUGGUUGCUAGCCCCCCUGUUGCUUCGGGUGUCUUCUGGAGUAUUCUUGAUCCCUCUGGUGACAUCCUUUUGUCGUGGAUAAGUUUCAUGGUAGAUUAGCACUUAAAUCCCUCUUUUAGGCUUUUCUGGAUAAUUCCCUGAAAAAUACACAAAUCACCAAACCUCUGGAAAUUGUUGUUGACACUUGCUAACACCACUUGAAUACUAGGUUGUCAUCCCCAGCAUGGCACUAGAGUGUACUAUGGCAUUUAUACGCACACAGAUAAUCCGCAAGCGCACGGAUACCGUUAUAGCUUUUUCCUGGUUAAAGGUUUUAUCGUAUCCACAGAGAAACGGGAGAACCAACUACGCUCUAACUUAACCAGGAUAGAUAGAUAAGUGUAAAUAGGAAAGAUGGUAGAAUCGAAUAAGAACAAUAUUAAAGGUAAGAUAACAGUGAGUGAUAAUAUGGGAAUAGAGAAUAGAGCAAUUCUAGUAUAUGGGCGAUGGUAGCAGAAUAGAGAGUAUAACUAUGGUUUCUCUACUUCAAAGGUGUAUGUCUAUGUCUAGGACGAACCACGUGAUAAGAGUACACCACAAAGGAUGCUUAUCCUUAGGCCGAUAAACCCUACCCGUCCUACUAACAAGAGGUGGACUACAGGGGACCAACGUAACUGUCACCUACGCGGCCUACCACACGAUCCAGCUAGACAGGGGAUAUCCACAAGUAAUCUAGAUCUAAGCACCUCACUUACACCUAUACUACAACUCUCACCUAUAGCGUCUUAUAGAUUAAAGUACUCAAAAGAGUUGUGAACCAGAACAUACAUAAUUAGUAAUUGCAUAAUGAAUUAGAAGUAGAUUACCAGAGUCAUCCCAUGAGCAAGCUUGAUUAGAGCUUGAUCAUGACGAAGUACAACCGGAGGAAGAACCGACAGGCCGGCCUCUCCUCUAAUCCUCCUUCGCUCUCCAUCUUGCUACUAUCUAGAUCUACUCUAGUUUAGAGAAGAGAGGAGAGCUCUCAUCUCUAAACCCUAGCUUUUGCUCUGUCUAUGAAUAAUGAAUAAUGAUCAAGGGGGUGCCUCCUCCAAGGGCCAGGGGGUCUGGUUAUAUAGUCUUUUCAGAUGAAUCUGGCCAUCGGAUCAAACCGACAUUGAUCGUGUGGUUUUCCUUGAAGUAUUAGGUCGGUGGACCAUGAUCCGCGAAGUUGAAGCUGAUUGGUUACUGUAGCUAGGCGGGCACCCAAGGGACUUGGGCGGGCGCCCUGCCCCCGGGCCCGAUCGGCCUCCCGUUCGUUCCCGUGGCUUCUGGAGUCUUCUAGAUGGUAGAAAAUUGCGCGGCACGUUAAUAUCUCUAUGUAAACCUGACGUGUGGGCCUUUCUUUCAUAUUUCCUGAUAACCCCCUGCAGAAAUAGACAAACACCAAAACUCGUGGAAUUCUGUCAGAUAAAACCCAAAGUCUAGAUGUUGAUUUCAUUUGGAUCCUUUUCUUUGUUCAUUUGGUAAUUAAAUUUGAUAAUUAAGGACCGUCAACAAACUCCCCCAAGCUUACCUCUUGCUUGUCCCUGAGCAAGGAUAGACUCAGCAAUGGAUCAGAAGUUGUUGCAAUAUCUUAAAAAUUUGACGGUACACAUGCUUUUAAAUAAGAUCUCAUCUCUGAGUUAGAGUAAACUGUCAAGAACUAAAACUUACUUACUUUACCUUUCACCAUGGGACUUGUAACCGUCACAUCUGUCUUGAGUAGUUAAAAGAUAGAACAGUCUAGCCAAGUGCCAUGUCUCUUAUUCUUGAUCAGCUAUAGCUCUGGAGUUUUUGCAGAUUUUCAAAUAAAACUCAGAGAUUCCUUGUAUGACUCUCUAAAUCUCUCUUUUGUGGUAUUUCUGGAUCCUUACCAAGGCAGUGAUGGUAUAUGCCUUCUCUCAAGAUAUGUGGUAUUUGUGGUAUAAGGCAUAGUGACAUUGCCUUCUCUCUCACCCUACUCUAAUAAGGCUUUAAUAUCUGGAGCUCAUAGGUGGGAGAUAAAGUAUACAUACUUACAAGACAUUUAUUGUAUAGUCAAACCAUGGAUCCAGAGAAACAAGUCAAUAAGUCAAAUCAAGAUGUGCAUGUGUGGCGAAUGAAUGGUGUAUGGUGAUGAUGGUGAUAACAAUGGUGGAAGUCUAAUUCUACUUUUGCUCUUUUGAGGCGAUACAUACCUUCCUUGCUUUUUGAAACUUUAUGAGGAGAAUGAGAUGCUCUUCUUUUUCUUUCCUCACAGGUGGGUAUCUUGUACCCCUAAUUCUACUGUCGGACACUUGUCCAUUUUUACCUCACGUCUCACUUUUUCUUUCUUUCGAGGUUCUGGGCACUUGCCCCUUUUUAUUUCCUCGUUUAUUUAUAUAUAUUUUUUUCUUUUCUUCUCUUUUCUUUUUUUUCAGAGCACUCAUCUCUUGAGAUAAUAUAGCAAGUGGUAGUAGCAAGAUAACUUGAGCAUUUAUUUCACAAGGGAAAACAGAAAUAUUUUUGGCUAUUCUCUCCCGGAUUAGGAGUAGAAUAUUUUUGGGUGGUUCUGGAGAUGGACAUGGAUGGAUAUAUGUGGAUGGUACUUUCGGAGUAGAAGUUGCAUAUAUGAGUGAACGUGCAAGUGAAUCUUGAUUUAACCACAUGACAAGCUCCUAAGGGUCUACACAGCUUGACCACACUCAAUGCUCAUAAGCAGUAAAUAGUAAAUGUGUGGCUCAAAGUCUAGCAAGCAUGUAUAUAUGGCUGUGGUAGGAAUUUAAACUCUAAUCAUACAUUAACUCAUCAUGCAAUAUUUUAAAGAUUUUUCAAAGAUAAAAUUCUCCAGAAUUCUAGCAUCUCUAGGAACAGAUAAACAGCAGCUCAACCUUCCCAUAUCAUAUCCGUUAACAACUUAGAUUUCAGAUCAAGUUUUCAUCCCACAAGUUUAGAUCUCCAGCAAGCUUUAAAUUAUAACAGUUAUGUCUAAACUUGAGAGAGAACUUCAAAUUUGCAAAUUAGGCAGAGCAACUAUUCAUCAUAUCCAUGCUAGAGUUUUAUUAUUAAGAUUCAGAUUAACAUAGCCACUUUAUUUAUUAAACACACUAAGCAAAAGAUAUAUAUAUAUAUAAGCACAAAAUCUUUAUUUGGUUUUUCAUAGUUUAUGUAUUUUAAUAUUCUAAUAUAAGUAUAAAGAUAGGUAGAAAUACUUAGCGAGAUAAAUGGGGGUGCUCUCCCCCAAGCUGAAUUUUGACGUAAUUUCUCUUGAUGUAGCUAGCAGGUGGCAGAGGUGUAUUUAAAAGUCAACAGCAUUCUGACAGCGAUUAGAAUGUCCUCCGUCUGCUAGUCUUCUUGAUUCUUAAAUUCUGUGGAGCUCAAAUAGACAACAAAGCUUGUGGAACUAAUUAAAUGUUAGCAUAAAUAUCUAGCCUUCAUCAUGUUGAGCUUCCUCAAUAAAUAUUACUCCCUGUUUUUAUAUUUUUAUUUUAUAAAGCAGAAAAGAAAUAUUUAUUUUAUUUUCAUGCCACCAUAGUGAAGGUACUUAUGGGUUUUAUGCCACUCGUAUACUCACAUAGGGCUUAGUAUUUUUUUAACAUUUUUAUUUUCUUUUCAAGAUAGCAUGAUUAACUAAUAAUCUAUUUAAGAAAAGUAAAUAAUUAAAGGGAAAAGGGAAUGCAGAAAGGAUAAAUAUGGAUAACUACCGAUCUUACCUUUCGGCGAGGGUUCAAUGUUUUAAGUCUUCUUAACAAGACUUCUCACCGUGUUCAUUCUUCAGGUGCGUCAUUUGAUUCAGGUGCGGACCUUGACAUUUGCACCUCUUCGUUUGCCCAGCAGUUCGAAGCGCGGCGUUGGCAGUAUCCUGCUCAAUGUGUUUGUGCUCGUAGAUCGAGGUCCUUCACUUGGUAGAGUCUGAGAGUUAUAAAACUCCUCCAUGUUUUGCUCAAAGUGUACCUGCUCAUAGAGACAAGGCAGAGAUCAAGUGCAUGGGUCCUGUUGGUGGAAAACACCAACAGAACCAAAAGUGUAUUUGUUCUUCUCUAACCCUAAGCAUAGUGAGCAAGACAAAGUUGAUGGAUGAAAAGUUCAUGAGUCUAGCACUUAUAACAUUUGUCAGAUCAGAUCGCUCAACCUUAUGGAAAGAUAAUCUAUCUAUGUAUAUGUCUUUUUCUUUAUAUCUUUCAAUGAUUGAAUGUGUAACAUUUUAGCUCAUAUGAUUAGGAGUGUGGGAUCAUGGAGGUAGUACUAAGAACAAGGAUUAAAGGACUAAACAUGUUGAAUCAGUUGGGUUGGUUAAUCUAGAGUUGUAAAUCAUACAUGUUUGUCUCUUUUAUUUAUAUGAACGCCAGAACCAAGGAGAAGCUUAUAAAAGUGAUAGUCAAGCACCUUAAGAUGUUACCUUGCUUGAAGAGUGAUGGUACAGUAUCACCUUGUGGAAGCUUUCCUUUCUUAGCGGUGGUGCAUCGUGUUUGUGGCACCCUCCAUGGAUCAUCUCUCUAUGAUGAAUGAGCUAUGUCCUUCUUGUGCAAAUUGUUAAACUUCAUAUGUCACUCUCUUCGUCUCUGAUGUGAGUUUAUCUCAGGACUUCCCAAAUCGAUAUUGAAAGUUUUUCUGCAGGGGUUAGUCCGACAAAAAUAUACCAAUGUCUACACAAGCAGUUUUUAGUUCAAUAACCGAACUAGACUCCAUGUCUGUGGGGGUAUAAACCCCUAUACCCUUACGGCUAGACUUCAGCUAGGAAGCUUGGUCCACUACGAGACGAGUUCAAGGCUUGAUCAGACAGCCCGAGUUUCGCGCAAGGAAACAAGACGUGGAGAUCAAGCAGAAUUCUAGUCGGUUAGAAUAGGAAUUGAUAUCGAAUUAUCUAUGGCAAUUGUAACCGACUAGGAUUAGUUUCUAGAUCUGUAACCCUGCCCUCCAGACUAUAUAAGGAGGGGCAAGGGACCCCCCUAGGACAUCAUAUUCUCUCAGCACAAAUCAAUACAACCAGACGCAGGACGUAGGUAUUACGCCAACUCGGCGGCCGAACCUGGAUAAAAAGCUUGUCCGUGUCUUGCGUCACCAUCGAGUUCGUAGUUCGCGCACCGUCUACCGACAAACUACUACCGUGGGUAUACCCCAAGGUAGACUGCCGACUAGCUUUCGUCGACAGUGGCGCGCCAGGUAGGGGGUGUGCGUGCAACUUUUCCGGCGAACAAGAUGGUCACGAUCCCAGCUUCCGCGACCGUGCCCGAAGGCCUCACGUUCACCGUCGGCCAAAUCACGUGGACGACGUGCAGCGGCGGCUUCGCGACCACGGUUCCGAAAGAGGUCCAGAUCCAAUCUGAGAUCACGCCGUCUCCGACCACACGCAUGACGGCACCAAGCUCCCGACCACCGUUCCCACUCUACAAGGGAAAGGAGAUCGACUGCUCGGACCUCCUCCAAGCGCUCGAUCGCGCUGACUCCAAGCUACUCGAAGUCUCCCAACUAAUAGAUGGAGUUCUGCGCCGGCCCGACCAAGCUGCUCGAGCGGAUUUUUCGAAAUCCCGCCGGCCAACUCGUGUCGCCACACACGAAUGGCUGGGAACGUCCCUGACGAUAACCUCAACCCCCUCACGACGAUCCGUCGAGCUCAAAAAGGAAGACUAUCCUCGCGGCCUGAACAACUCGGCCUCUGUUUACUCACGGCAUGUCCAAUCCGUUUUCAGCAAAGCGGGCUGGUCGCCGACAAGGAACAAUCGCCACCAUGUCAACAUGGUGACAAUCCGAGAGCUACGGGACGGCCAGGUUUCCAGCACCAACUCAAGCACCGGCUCCGUCCCCACCGAGGUUAUAAACACCGAAGACGAGGGCUACGACCUGGAUUUUCCUUCACACCCUCCGGGUUUUCGACCAAUUCCCGAUAUUGCCCCCCCGGCGAGGGGAUAUCGUGUUCAAUGUCAGCGCCGACGAACCAGCUGUUGACGGAGAAACAGAUGACCAGAGGCAACUCCGCGAACAGCGUAACGCCGAUCGCGCCCGACGGCGUGCGGACGAGCAACAACAGAUGCCACCAAGUAACCUCAACGAUGCCUUUGACAUGGUCGGGGACCAGCCGGUCUACAAAACGCCAAGCGCCAACGUGGCUGUCGCCAUGGCCAACCUGGAUCGGCUUCCUGACACCCCCGAGUGCUAGGGAGUCCGGACCAGCAUCCGAGCACACCUGAUCGCCGCAAUGGGACAGACAGCCACUCUGCUCAAGAGAGUCCAGGACGUCUCUUAUACGGAAGCCGCCUCCGACCAGACUAAUCGUAGCCGGGCCUCACCCAGCAGGCGUCACCGCAGCCGCUCCCCCGACAACCGUCGAGGAGACUCACGGCGCGACGAUGGUGGUCGGGACGCCGAUGGCCGCCGCCAGCAGAACCGCGUACGCGGCCAAGAAGAAGAAGACCAACACAGGGAUCUCCGCCACAACAUCCCUCCCAAAGAUGCCCGGGACCGCAUCAACAGGCGCGCCGUAGAGAGAGCAGUCCACGAAAACCUGCGCCGCAUCGAGUACGAUGCGACCCACAGUCCUCCGGGCCUAAGGCAGUUCUCCUCACACCUCCGCCAGGUCGUGUGGCCCCGCAAUUUCAAGCUCGAAAAACUUAAAAAAUACGACGGCAAGGAUCACUCUUGGGAAAUCGCCGUCCGAUCAGCGGCAGGAGAUGAGCACGUCAUGGCUAACUACUUCCCCGUAGUCCUCGACCAGGCUGGUCAUCAGUGGCUUCUCGGCUUGCCCGAGGACUUCUUCGACUCUUGGGAAGAGUUACGACAGGCUUUCAUCGACAACUUCAUCGCCACAUGCGAGCAGCCCGGAAACAAGUAUGACCUUGAAAGGAUAAGAGACAGGAAGAAUGAACCUCUGCGCGAUUACAUCCGACGAUUCUCGGAUAUGCGCCUCAAAAUCCCGAAGAUUUCUCAUGACGAGGCCAUAUCAGCCUUUAUCAAGGGCUUGCGUUUCCAUGAAGCGCUGAGGAACAAGCUGUUGCGUAAGCGCCCAUCAACGGUAGCAGAGCUCCUCGCCACGGCUAAAAAUUACGCCGAUGCUGAUGACGCAGAAAAACUAAUCCGAGACGACGCGAGAGGCCCCGACCAGCCUUCUCGGCGAGACGACGGUCGUGGUCGCUACGAAAACAGAAAUCACCGCCGCUCCGACAACCGCGAUCACCGAGAGGGUUGGGAUCGGCGGCGCGACAGCCGCAACGACUUCAGAGGAAAGCGCCCUCGUGAAUACGACCACGAAGUAAAUACGGUCAAACGUCCCAACGGACGACGGGACUACCAAGACGACUACAACAAAACGUUGAAGGGACCGUGCCAGCUACACCCAAAGUCUAACCAUACCAUGGAAGAGUGCCGCGUCCUCAAAAGUAUCUAUACACGGCGGGCCGCCCAAGAGGACUCCGCCAAGAAAAAUAACAAACGCGACGGGCACGACCACGAAGAUGAGGAUGAGGACCAAGACAGGGACCCCCGACACCAAUACGUUAGCCCCACCGACGUGGUCCACUCCAUUUUCGGGGGCAAGGUCUCCACUGAGUCCAAGCGAGAAAGAAAGCUGUUAAAGAGAGCCUGCCUCAACAUAGACAGCACGGACGGGCUGAUCGCAGAUCCGAAGUUUCCCGCCUGGUCCCACAGGGAGAUCUCGUUCAGUAGGAAGGACCAGUGGGCCGCUAUCCCAGAGCCGGGACGUUUCCCACUGAUUCUUGAUCCCUGCAUCAAUAGCAUUAGAUUCGAGCGCGUGCUCGUGGACGGGGGAAGCUCCAUCGACAUCCUUUUCCGCAACAGCCUGCCCGCCCUCAAGAUAUCACCGGCACAACUAAAACCUUACGACGCCCAAUUCUGGGGGGUUUUGCCAGGUCAAAGUUCGGUGCCCCUCGGACAGAUAACAUUGCCUGUCCAAUUCGGCACACCCGAUCACUUCCGGACGGAGUUCAUCAACUUCGUGGUCGCGGAUUUCGACGGGACCUACCACGCUAUACUGGGCCGCCCAUCGCUGACAAAGUUCAUGGCAGUCCCGCACUACUCAUACCUAGUCCUUAAGAUGCCCACGGAGAAGGGUGUCCUAACCAUCAGAGGCAACGUCUACACUGCGUACACCUGCGAAGAAGAAAGCUUCAAGAUCACCGAGGCAAUUGACCUCUCAAUCCGCAUGGCGGAAACAGCAAACCAAGCCGCACAGCUGCCCCCCGACCAGCUCCGAUUACCUGAGCAGGAGACAGCCAGAAAGAAUUCGAAAUCCAAGGAGCACAAAGAAGUGCAGCUGGUCGAAGGCGACCCCGAGAAAACAGCCCUCAUCGGGGCUAACCUGGAUCCAAAAUAGGAAGACGCGCUCGUCAGGUUUCUAAGGGACAACGUGAGCGUUUUCGCAUAGAAACCCGCAGACAUGCCCGGUGUCCCACGAAACCUGAUCGAGCACUCCUUAAACGUCUCGAAGACCGCAAGACCAAUCAAGCAAAAACUGCGACGGUUCGCUCGUGACAAAAAGGAGGCUAUUAGGACAGAAAUAACACGGCUUCUAGCAGCCGGAUUCAUAAAAGAAGUGUAUCAUCCCGAUUGGCUCGCCAAUCCGGUUCUUGUACGCAAAAAGAAUAAUGAAUGGAGAAUGUGCGUUGAUUACACCGAUCUCAACAAACACUGUCCUAAAGAUCCUUUUGGUCUUCCUCGCAUCGACGAGGUGGUCGACUCAACGGCCGGAUGCGAACUCCUCUCCUUUCUAGAUUGCUACUCUGGUUAUCACCAGAUCUCGUUAAAGGAAGAAGAUCAGAUCAAAACAUCCUUCAUCACACCCUUCGGCGCAUACUGUUACACUACCAUGUCUUUCGGACUUAAAAACGCCGGGGCCACUUAUCAAAGGGCCAUCCAGCAAUGCCUCCACGACGAGAUUCGCGAUGACCUCGUCGAGGCCUAUGUGGACGACGUGGUCGUAAAAACAAGGGACGCGAGCACCCUAAUCGACAACUUAGACCGAACCUUCAAAGCACUCAAUAGGUACAAGUGGAAGCUCAACCCCAAGAAAUGCAUUUUCGGCGUUCCUUCCGGCCUACUGCUCGGCAACGUCGUCAGUCGCGACGGCAUACGACCAAACCCUUCAAAAGUCAAAGCCGUACUCGACAUGCGACCACCGAAGAACGUCAAGGAUAUUCAGAAGCUAACCGGAUGGAUGGCCGCCCUCAGUCGUUUCAUCUCAAGGCUGGGAGAAAAAGGCCUCCCUUUCUUCAAACUACUGAAAGCGUCAGAAAAAUUCUCUUGGACAGAGGAAGCCGACGCUGCGUUCACUCAGCUUAAGACCUUCCUCACUUCACCGCCUGUCCUCACAGCGCCUCAGCCCAAUGAAGACCUACUCCUUUACAUUGCUGCAACCGACAGGGUUGUUUCCACGGCAAUAGUGGUCGAGCGAGAUGAACCAGGUCAUGUCUUCAAGGUCCAGAGACCCGUUUACUUCAUAAGCGAAGUUUUAAACGAAUCCAAGGCCACGUACCCACAAAUACAGAAGCUUAUAUACGCCAUCCUGAUAACGUCAAGAAAGCUGAAGCACUACUUCGACGGCCAUCGAGUCCUGGUGACAACCAGCUUUCCUCUCGGGGACAUCCUGCGCAAUAAAGACGCCAAUGGCAGAAUCGUGAAAUGGGCAAUGGAAUUAUGUCCAUUUUCCCUAGAGUUCCAGAGUCGCACCACUGUCAAGUCUCAAGCCCUGGUCGAUUUCAUUGCCGAAUGGACGGAUCUCAACGAGCCUUCCGUUCCAGAUGUCUCAGACCACUGGUCAAUGUUCUUUGAUGGGUCCUUGAACAUCAACGGUGCAGGCGCUGGGAUAUUGUUCGUAUCACCCAACAAGGACAAACUCCGCUACGUCCUUCGGAUCCUUUUUCCGGCGUCAAACAAUGUCGCCGAAUACGAAGCAUGCUUACAUGGCGUACGACUAGCCGUCGAACUGGGGGUCAAGCGCCUCUAUGUCUACGGCGACUCCGCUUUGGUCAUCAACCAGCUCAACAAGGAGUGGGACGCAACCCACGAGAAGAUGGAUCUCUACUGCAAAGAAAUUCGCAAAUGGGAAACUAACUUCUAUGGCAUAGAGUACAUCCACGUGGUCCGGGAUAAGAACCAAGCAGCAGAUGCGUUGUCAAAGUUAGGCUCGUCUCGGGCCCAAAUCCCGCGGGGUAUUUUCGUCCAGGACAUCCACGAGCCGAGCGUAGGCUCCCCCCUGGUCGACAAACGACCCACCGAGGCAAUGCUCAUAGAUGACGCCACUCCGACAACUGGUGGGCGUGACUGGCGUACCCCGUUCAUCAAAUACAUAUCAGACGGGACAGGCUUUCAGGACAAAACAGAGAACGAGCGUCUCAUCCGACGAUCAAAGAACUACAUCCUGGUCGACGGAAAACUCAUGCGGAAAAACGCAAGCUCCGAAGUACUGCUCAAGUGCAUACCCCAAGAUGAUGGUAUCAAGCUCUUGGAAGACAUACACGCCGGAUCCUGCGGCAACCACGCCGCAUCCAGAACGCUGGUCGGAAAGGCUUUCCGAGCAGGUUUUUAUUGGCCAACCGCGGUCAGCGACGCAGAAAAACUGGUUCGGCAUUGCGAAGGAUGUCAGUUUUUCGCUAAGAGGACCCACGUACCUGCCCAUGAAAUUCAAACCAUCCCGUCGUCUUGGCCCUUUGCUUGCUGGGGGCUUGACAUGAUCGGACCAUUCAAACCAGCCCCAGGCAAUUUCAAGUUUGUCUUCGUGUUAAUCGACAAGUUCUCCAAGUGGAUUGAAUACAUGCCCCUGGUCAAAGCAACCUCCGAGAAGGCUGUGGAGUUCCUCAAUCAAAUCAUACACAGAUUCGGCAUUCCGAACAGCAUAAUCACCGACCUGGGCACUCAGUUUACUGGCACCACUUUUUGGGAUUUCUGCGAUGACAGAGGCAUAGUCAUAAAAUAUGUGUCAGUGGCACAUCCACGUGCCAACGGUCAAGUUGAACGUGCUAACGGAAUGAUCGUUGACGCCCUAAAGAAAAGGUUGUACACCGAAAACGACAGAGCACCCGGUCGAUGGAUGAAAGAAUUGCCGGCUGUGGUCUGGGGCCUCCGAACUCAGACCAGUCGAAACACAGGGGUGUCUCCCUACUUCAUGGUGUACGGUGCAGAGGCGGUCUUGCCGUCCGACAUACACUUCGGAUCUCCUAGAAUCGAGCACUUCGACCAAGCGACCGCCGACAACGCCAGAGGACUCGAAAUCGAUUGCAUGGAGGAAAAGCGUUUAGUGUCGUGUCUCCGAACAGCAAAGUAUCUCGCAGCAGUCAGGCGAUACUACAACAGGAAUGUCAAGGACCGUUCGUUCGUGGUCGGCGAUCUGGAGCUUCGAUGGAAAACAAGCCAGGAGGGAAUGCACAAGCUAUCCACUCCCUGGGAAGGACCCUUCGUGGUGACCGAGGUCACACGACCUACGUCCUACAGAUUGGCAUACCCAGACGGAACACGAGUGCCUAACUCUUGGCACAUCGACAAACUGCGACGUUUCUAUCCAUAAAGUUUUAAUGACUUUCUUCUGUAAGUAUCUCAUAAUUUUUGAUAAUGAAAUUCUCUAUUUUUGGCCCAUACCUUGUCACACACAGCACUCGGCAAAACUCCUGCAACGGACGCUCUUAGCGACAACAAAGACAAAUACGGUGACACGUCACUCAGAUAUUCUUGCAGCGCUCAAAACAACAGUCAUGACAAAAAGCAAACUUUAUUACAAACUUUACAUACAAAGUUUACAAUAAAUACCCUGACGGGCAAACACUAGUCUAUUCCUACAGACUACUUUAUUGGCCUGGCUGCUCGGGCUGAUCACCCGCCUGGCCCUGCUGCCCGGACGAAGGGGUCGGGGCCACCGGCGCCUGGCUGGUCGAGACCGCAGGCGUCGACCGCCCAUCUCCCGCAACGGACGCGCCCGACAACUCCCUGGCCGACCUAUCUGAGCUCGGCUGGUCUGGAGGAGUGGCCGUUCCGCACAGAUUGAUGUCGCCGAUCACUGUCGACGACAAGUCCAGCAGAUUACCUCGAAGUUCGUCCGCUUCCUGUGGGCCGACUUCCUUCGGGUACCCCUUCUCCAGCCUGCUCAAGUCGACCAGGGGGUAGUGGGCGCGCACCAUGCUGAGGACGUGCGCGCCGGCAAACUCCCCGGCGUCCUUCACAAACUGCUGGAGCCAAUCCCACGCCCGUUGCGCCUUCUCGACCGGGGUCAACUGCGGCGCGCGGGGCUGGCUCUCCGGGAGCUCGGGACUGAUCAGGUCUAGGACCGGGGACACUCCCUUCCAGAUCCUGCAACAGUUGACCUUCCAGGAGUCCCGGUCCUUGAUCAGCUCAUCCAGGUGCUUUUUGGUGUUCACCUUGAGCACUGCAAACGAAACGAAACGUUACUUUCGGCAUACCAGACAAAUAAAGGGGCAGGCAGCAACCAACAAGGCGGCACUCAUUACCAGAUAGCUCCCGGUGUUUUCGACCCAAUUCCUCUUCUGCUCGCCGCCCGGACUCCAGCGCACCGGCGAGCUGUUGGCUGAGCUGCUCCUUCUCUUGUUGGAGGCUCGCCACCUCCUCCUCCAAGUCUGCGUGAAUCCUAAACUGGUCAGCAAAGCAAACUAUACAAGUACACGAAGCUGCUCGGAGCGUGUGACUAACCUUCCUGCAGCCGGUACUGGUCGGCCAGACGACGAGCGAGGUCGAGACGACGCUCCUUUUCGGCACUCAUCUCGACCACCUUCUCCCCGACCUCCGCGCGCAACCGGUCUACCUCCGCGGCAAGGGCCUUGUUCUCGGCCAUGACGCCUUCUAUCUGGUCAAAGCACCGUUUCCGGUACUUCGCCGUUUUCAUUACGUCCUACAAAGCAAGGAUAUAACGACCAUGCAAGACAAGGCAAAAGAAUGCGCAGCAGUACAAAGAGCCGCUUACCUUGACUUCGUCGACAAGGCGCUUGGCCGCGCGCUCCACCCUGGCGGCCUCUUCGGUCUCGGCGAGCUCCUCAUGACCGAUAAAGUGAUCCCCGCGUUGGCGCCACACAUACACGUGUUGGCGGCCAUCACGGGGACGACCCUCGAUCUCUUCCACCUCGUCAUCGGAGGCCGCCCGGGUUUCCUCCUCCUGUGCUACGUCACCCCCGGUGGUGGUCCCAGGCAUUACUGGCCCUUGGACCAGACCUGGGGAGCCCGCAGCCGAAGAGGCUCCUGCUCGGGGCGGCGGGGGGACUUCACUCCCCCCGGCAGGAGGAGCGGUCGGAGAUCUUCCCUUCUCUGCGGAGUCAGUUGGGGGAGCCUCUCCAGCCCUGGUCGGGCUGCUUGUUGUAGUCGGCGCCGCGCUUGGGAGCCCCUCGGUGCUCCCAGGCGCGCUCGCAGCUGUUGGCUGCUCUGUGGUCUGGGGGGCCGCAUCCCCAGAACCGCGGGCAGGCUCGCCCGUUCCCUGGCUGGCAGUUUGGCCAGGGUCGACAUCCGAUGCCGCACUACAGGAACAAAAGUUAAAAAAAAAAGAUGAGUCCAAAAUACGUAAGUCGAACACUUACAGGUCUGACCGACGGUGGGUCGCGGUGAACCUCCUCCUCGCCCGGCCGGUCGGCACCUGUGCCCCCAUCUCAGCAACUUGCGGGGCAGCGGCGCCGCUGGCCACUCGAUCAGUGGCGACCGGCGCAGUGUCUGGGCGGCUCCGAGGCCGUCGAACCAACGACGGCGCAGCCUCCUCGUCGUCGUCGUCGUCGACGAUCCGCACGAGCCGACGACGCUUCGGUGCUUGGCUGCUCUCCGCCGGGAGAUCUGCCGGCAGCCCCGGUGUCGGCAAGGGAUCUGCCGGCAAUGGCCUUUUCCCCGCAACCCUCUCCUCGGAGGUCGGGACGGGGCGGGCUCGGUCUUCCUCACUGCUGGUGUAAUGAGUACACCGAGCAGCGUCCUCCUCUGGCGGGACCUCUCCCACCGGAUUUUCCAUCCCCGGUGCCAGUGAUACAUACACUGCGCACCGGUCGACAUCACCGACCUGCAAAAGCAACAGAGAUGAGUCAACUGCAGACGAUAUAUGAAUGAUCAAACAGAAUCUGCUACAUACCUUUGGUGCUGGUCGUCCUAACUUGAAGGCUUGCACCCGAUCACUGCCACGGAUGAAGCCCCCAUCCGCGAAGUUAAACAGCUCGUUCAACAGCUGUUGUACCUCCGCUUUCUCCAAGAUCUCCGACCGCAUCCUGGUCGGGUCUGCGCUUCCGGCAUACUCGUACGCCGAGUGCACCCUCUUCUGGCAGGGCAUCACCCGGCGGCAAAUGAAGUUGCCGACCACGCCAAGCCCGUCUAGGCGCGACCAGUCGAUCAGCUUCAUGAGAUCCGCCACUGGUCCGUCGAACUCCGGUCGGUCGGUCCAGCUCGCCCUCUUCUCGGGAAUGUAUCCAACGUCGCAGAACGUGGAGCUGCCCGGUUCCUCCCUGAUGUAGAACCACUUCCUGUACCAUUCGGUCAAGGAAGUGUUCCAUGGGCAAUGCAGGUAGCGAUUCUUCAUCCCAUCACGAAGGUUGAGGUAUACUCCACCUGCAACCUUGGAGCCUCCAACUGCUCCCUUCUUCCUCAAGCAGAAAAGAUACCGGAAAAGAUCAAAGUGCGGCUCUAUGCCAACAUAGGCCUCGCACAGGUGGAUGAAGGUGGAAAUAAGGAGAAUAGAGUUCGGGUGCAGAUUGCAAAUCCCGAUCUCAUAGUACAAAAGAAGACCUUGAAGAAAAGGAUGAACAGGAACACCAAAGCCUCUCUUAACGAAAUCUUCAAAAACGACGAUCUCACCGGCGCGAGGGUCGGGGUAGCUCUCCCCCUCCGGUGCCCUCCAGCCGCCGAGCUCUGCGCCGUGCAGAAGCCCCAUAUCGACGAGGUCACCAAGAGAUUUUGUGGUGCUGCGAGAUUUCUUCCACUCCUUGGCCAUCAGUUCGGCCCUCUUCCUGCAGUCGCUCUUCGCCAUUAGAGGUGCGAAUGUGGGCUGGAGUUAGGGAGAUGCAGGAGACUGGAGAAGAUGAGAGCGGAAGGUUUGAAGGCAAUGGCAGGCGAAGCGGUACAGGAGGUCCUAUUAGGCCCUUAUAAACCCGCGACCCCACCUCUCCCACUUCCUGUAUUCUCGGGAAGUGGGCAGGCCAUGCGGCGGACGCGGCGUUUCGGUUUACAAUGAUUACAGACAAUUAAGGCCGCGGAGUUUUCGUACCAAUUGAUGGUUUCCUUUUCUCAAACCAUGCAAAGAGCGGUUGUACAGUUGCCAGGUGCAGCUUUUCAUGCAUCUGUCUGACAUAUCAUCAGGAGACCGCGUCACGUCAACUUUAACUAGAAAGAUCUUUUCAAAAGUAAGAAGACACAUACGCCAGUGAGUCAACAAUCCGAGGACUGCACCGACCACCGAGCACUCGACGCUCGGGGACUGGUCGCCCAGUCUAUCAGCUCGGAACUUCAAGGACUGCACCGACCACCGAGCACUCGACGCUCGGGGACUGGUCGCCCAGUCUAUCAGCUCGGAACUCCAAGGACUGCACCGACCACCGAGCACCCGACGCUCGGGGACUGGUUGCCCAGUCUAUCAGCACGGAACUUCAAGGACUGCACCGACCACCGAGCACUCGACGCUCGGGGACUGGUCGCUCAGUCUAUCAGCUCAAAGCUUUAAAGCAUGCACCGACCACUGAGCAUUCGACGCUCGGGGACUGGUCGUACAGUAUAGCAACAUAUAAUUCCAAGAAGCACACUAAGUGCUUGGGGACUGGUCGAUUGGUCUUUUCAAUUGCAGACGAGCAUGACAUGCUCGGGGACUGGUAAGUUCAAUUUUUUAGACCUUGCUACAAGGCUCAUACUUCGCCUUCCAGCAAGCUCGGGGACUACAUCGGUACGAUGCAUCUAGCGAUGCAUCUCAGUCUCAAAACUACUUUGGGGAAUUUUCUUUUGACCCUGGCACCACGUGCCUACGCCACCUACUACCAGGCUCGGGGACUAAGUGGGCACACUUCACCUAGCGGUGAAUUUGCUUGCUUUUUUGAUGCUUCUACAUUUCAAAAAGGCAAAGUGGGCACACUUCACCAGGAAAGAAAUUUUUUUUUAGAGCACCAUGCAUUCUUCGAACAACCUGCUUCUUCGAUGUCAAUGUUGGUCAACUGUCUUUCGAGUUGGUCAAGGAACCGUUGCAACUGUUUGGGCGAUUUUCCCGCUUAUUGAAGACGACAGGCCUCGCUGAUCGAAGAAGCUCAAGACGGCGUGUUGCAUCACAAUACAUGGCGCUCGGGGACUAGCUGUGGGGGUAUAAACCCCUAUACCCUUACGGCUAGACUUCAGCCAGGAAGCUUGGUCCACUACGAGACGAGUUCAAGGCUUGAUCAGACAGCCCGAGUUUCGCGCAAGGAAACAAGACGUGGAGAUCAAGCAGAAUUCUAGUCGGUUAGAAUAGGAAUUGAUAUCGAAUUAUCUAUGGCAAUUGUAACCGACUAGGAUUAGUUUCUAGAUCUGUAACCCUGCCCUCCAGACUAUAUAAGGAGGGGCAAGGGACCCCCUAGGACAUCAUAUUCUCUCAGCACAAAUCAAUACAACCAGACGCAGGACGUAGGUAUUACGCCAACUCGGCGGCCGAACCUGGAUAAAAAGCUUGUCCGUGUCUUGCGUCACCAUCGAGUUCGUAGUUCGCGCACCGUCUACCGACAAACUACUACCGUGGGUAUACCCCAAGGUAGACUGCCGACUAGCUUUCGUCGACAAUGUCUAAUCAGAUUAAAGAAGGCAGUUUAACCUAAGCACCAUGCUUAAUUUUAAAGCCAAUAGAAGUAUGUGCAGUACUUCCAAACUAACACUUACUAGUAAAUAGACAAAGGUAACAUGACAGCAUUUAUAGAGAUCUACUCAAGUGGAGAUGAAGUAGUGUGAUUAGUAUUUAACAAAUUGAGCAUGUCUCAAAGGUAGGGACAACCAACAUAGCAACAUGGCAAAGGAUGUUUUUAUGUAAAGUACUCCCCCAAGCUUGAAUUUUGCAGAAUUCAAGUUUGGAUGAAUUUAAUUCAGUGUUGCAUGAUGAUUGGUUGGACAUACCUUGUACUUGCUUGUCAUUCAUCCGAUCUUCUUGUUCCAAUCCUGGAAAGGUUAGUGACAAGAAUACCCGAAGGAAUAUUUUUACAAUUAUCCUUAUAUGCUCAAUACACAAGGUAAUGUUGCAAAUAAUUAAAAACUCAUGUUAUGAUCUGAUCAGUGCUUAUUUUAGGACACUAAGCUUGUCCUUGGGAAACCAUCAAUUUAUGUCGGCGAAGUGGUUUCCCUUCAAACGCUGACCUAUAUCAAGAUCAACUCAACGAGAUCUGCAAUAUUUAUUAUAGACAUAUGCAUCGACAACCGCCCUUUUAAAGUUUUUAUAAAUAGAAAGGAAGAGGGGGUUGGAGAUCUCAAAUGUGGUGAUGUUGGAGAGACCAAUAGAUUGGGAAGAUGUUUCAUAUGAGCAUGGAGUAAAUGAAGUGGUUAUGAAAUAAAUUCCAUGCUCAUUAAUGUUAUCUUCGUCUCUAAUCUGAAUGUUUGGAGUUUCUCCUGGAUUGGUCUCACUUAUGUCCUCUUCUAUAUUUGGAUGAAUCCCAUCUUCAAGGGAGUCAAGAACUCACCAUUUGAAAUUGAACCAAAGUCAGAAUUCAUUAAGGCUUCUUCCUUAUCCAUCCAUUCUACACAUUCUAGCCAUUUAGAACUUGUGAUGAGGAAAGGGGAGGUGUUAGAAUUUUCAAUAUGGCUUAGCUCUCCUUCACUUGAUAUGUCAUCCUCGACUUCCUCAUAAUAGGAACCAGGACAUUCUCUAAGAGAACCAUUAUUGCGAGGAUUUGAAUUAUCCCUGCUUGAAGGACUCUUAUGGAACCAGAAGUCUAAACCAUCAGCAUCUGAAAGAUUUAAGGUCGGAAUUCCUUCCUCCCUUGGAGAAUUUUGGGGUAUUGAUGGUUUAGGAUCGAUAGCUAAAGUUUGGAAUUGAAGUGGUUGUGAUCUGGCUAUCGAAACUUCUUCUUCUUGUCUAGGAACUAGUUCUGUCUCUUUCUCAGGGAUAUAAAAGCUAGGAGACUUUCCACUUAAUAAAUCAAUCAAAUUCCAAGCUUCACUAGCAGGUAGGUGAUAGAAGGAUCCUCUAGAGGCUGUAUUCAAGGUUUGCUUAUUUUCCCCACUAAGGCCCUCAAAAAAGUGAAUUAGAAGAACUUCUUCUGGAAUAGAAAGCUUUGGGCAGUGAGAGUAAGGUUAAUAAAGCGGUCCCAUGAUUUCCUAAGAGAUUCUUCUUCCAGUUGCCUAAAAGAAAUAAUCUCACGCCGAAGUUCCGCCACUUUGGAGAUUGGAAAAUAUUUUAAAAUAAAACUAUUAUGUAACUCCUUCCAAUCUCCAUGAACACUCCCUACUUUGAGUUUAUACCAAUGUCUAGCUUUUCCCGUUAAAGAGAACGGAAAGAGCUUCCAUUUAUGGGUCUCAUCAGACAUGCCUUCAAUGCGAAGGAGGUCACAGACUCGAUAAAACUCUCUUAGGUGUGUGUAUGGGUUUUCCUCACCUUCUCCUGAGAAAGGUUGUUUUUGAACAAAUUCUAUGUAUUCGGGGUCUAUCUCAAAACUAGAUGCUAUGAUAGGCUUUGAAGAUUUUGGUGGUUCGAGAUGUGUGCCCGUAGGUCUAUGAAAUUCAUAGAUAGACGUGUUUGAAUUCAUGAUAGACCAGAGAUCAAGGAUUAGAUAAGAAGAAAGAUUAGCAGAGAUGAGGCAAAGGAUAAAAGGAAAAAAAAAAUUUAUUUUUUUUAGAAAAUGAUUAAGCUAGUUCGUAGUCAACUCAGCAACCGUUUCCCUGGCAACGGCGCCAAAAAAUGCUUGUUGACACUUGCUAACACCACUUGAAUACUAGGUUGUCAUCCCCAGCAUGGCACUAGAGUGUACUAUGGUAUUUAUACGCACAGAGAUAAUCCGCAAGCGCACGGAUACCGUUAUAGCUUUUUCCCGGUUAAAGGUUUUAUCGUAUCCACAGGGAAAAGGGAGAACCAACUACGCUCUAACUUAACCAGGAUAGAUAGAUAAGUGUAAAUAGGAAAGAUGGUAGAAUCGAAUAAGAACAAUAUUAAAGGUAAGAUAACAAUGAGUGAUAAUAUGGGAAUAGAGAAUAGAGCAAUUCUAGUAUAUGGGCGAUGGUAGCAGAAUAGAGAGUAUAACUAUGGUUUCUCUACUUCAAAGGGGUAUGUCUAUGUCUGGGACGAACCACGUGAUAAGAGUACACCACAAAGGAUGCUUAUCCUUAGGCCGAUAAACCCUACCCGUCCUGCUAACAAGAGGUGGACUACAGGGGACCAACGUAACUGCCACCUACGCGGCCUACCACACGAUCCAGCUAGACAGGGGAUAUCCACAAGUAAUCUAGAUCUAAGCACCUCGCUUACACCUAUACUACAACUCUCACCUAUAGUGUCCUAUAGAUUAAAGUACUCAAAAGAGUUGUGAACCAGAACAUACAUAAUUAGUAAUUGCAUAAUGAAUUAGAAGUAGAUUACCAGAGUCAUCCCAUGAGCAAGCUUGAUUAGAGCUUGAUCAUGACGAAGUACAACCGGAGGAAGAACCGACAGGCCGGCCUCUCCUCUAAUCCUCCUUCGCUCUCCAUCUUGCUACUAUCUAGAUCUACUCUAGUUUAGAGAAGAGUGGAGAGCUCUCAUCUCUAAACCCUAGCUUUUGCUCUGUCUAUGAAUAAUGAAUAAUGAUCAAGGGGGUGCCUCCUCCAGGGGCCAGGGGGUGUGGUUAUAUAGUCUUUUCAGAUGAAUCUGGGCCGUCAGAUCAAACCGACAUUGAUCGUGUGGUUUUCCUUGAAGUAUUAGGCCGGUGGAGCAUGAUCCGCGAAGUUGAAGCUGAUUGGUUACUGUAGCUGGGCGGGCGCCCAAGGGACUUGGGCGGGCGCCCUGCCCCCGGGCCCGAUCGGCCUCCCGUUCGUUCCCGUGGUUCUGGAGUCUUCUAGAUGGUAGAAAAUUGCGCGGCACGUUAAUAUCUCUAUGUAAACCCGACGUGUGGGCCUUUCUUUCAUAUUUCCUGAUAACCCCCUGCAGAAAUAGACAAACACCAAAACUCGUGGAAUUCUGUCAGAUAAAACCCUAAGUCUAGAUGUUGAUUUCAUUUGGAUCCUUUUCUUUGUUUAUUUGAUAAUUAAAUUUGAUACUUAAGGACCGUCAACAAUUGUCAGUGAUAACCCUAUUCUAGUAGAUAUUCAUGUAUGGUGGAGAGUUAAUAGAUAACAAAUAUUGUGGGUUAAGAGGUGUCAACAAUUACCCCACACUUAGGCUUUUACUCGUCUCGAGAAAAAGAUGGGUUCUAUUAUAAAGAAUAAACAUUCAAUGCAUAACUUGGAAAUUAAAUUAUAUAAAACUAGCCUAGCUACCAUGCAUUGUGGAAUUUUAAAGUGUUUUAUCAUGAAUUCUGUAGUGAUUGUGGAGUAGGAUAGCUUAAAACAGAUUACUCUCUUUCUUUAAUUAUGUCUAUUGGAGAGUAAGUGGAGUUUGCAAAUAACACAUAGCUUUGACCUUCUCUUAUUUGUAGUGACAUCAACGGUUGUUAUAUUAAUUUGAUAUUCAUAACCGGGGAGAGAAAUAUCAUAUUCCUAGAUUAGAAAAAUCAUCCACUCCUUGGCAUAUUAUGUUGGAGGAACCAUGAGCUCUUUUUUAACUAAUUCUACUUAUGAGCACAUGUUCAUAUUUCUUUUCUUAUUGAAUCAAGGUUCUGGACACUUGUCCCUUUUUAUUUCCUCGUGAUCUAUCUUUUUGAGGUUUCAGACACUUGUCCCUUUUUAUUUCCUCGAAUUUCUUUAUGAAUAGCUCAUGCCUCCUUCAUAAUAAUGCUUUUGUUGGUGCAAAAGCUGAUCUGCAAACACAAAGGGCUAAUACCCGAUUCAAACAUUAAGGCGUGCCAGCCAAUUUGACCUUACUAUCGGCAAAGGUGGUAACUCGAAUACUUUGGUCCUGACAACAGCAAUGCGCCUGGAUGUCACGGCCAAGAGGUACUCACGCGGAACUCAAGAAUACGCCGAGCUUAAGUCAACGAAUUACUAAGAACUCGUAGUAAAAAGGAAAAUAUGACGAAGUUGUCGAAAAAGUAGAUGCUGGAAUAUGAGUAAAAAAUUAUGUUUGAUUGAUUGAUAGAUAUCUCAUUACAAGGCCCUAGGGUCUACAUUUAUACCCUGCUCAAAGAUCUACAAUCAGACACGACUAGGACUCGAAUUCCAAAUUAAACAGAAUCCGUGUACAAAACGAAUUUAAAUAACUAAGGAAAACAUAAAACCACCCCCCUUGUAACCGACCGGGACACCGCCACAGAUCAAUCGGCAACCUCCACACUUUCCUUCAGAGUCAUCGGCAGUCUUCCUGUUAUGGCCAUCGGCAAACACCAAUAUUAAUCAUCAGCAAGAACACGUCACCACCUCUGGACUUAGUCAUAUUCAAUCGUCUCUUCAUCGGCAACUACCCUCAUCGGCAACUCUUUUGUAGGCUAUUUACCGUUGCUCCACCUGCCGAUCUAUACUCUACUGGUCUCUGGGUACGCGUCCAAAAACGGUGUCAACACAUGCCCCCCAAUUUCGGAGUAUGGAAUCAUUAAUGCUCCGAAAUUCUCUGCAGUAAUGAUGCCUUUCCGCAAUUAAUUCUCCCAAUUUGGUAACCGACCGUUUAAAUCUGAACAACCUCGGCCCGAUUCUCCUGCAGGUUCCUCGAAUUCCUCAACCUUCCGAACCGGAUCUCUCCACUUUAUGCGUCCAUCGGCAAUAUUACCGUUAGAGGGAACUGCCGAUGGACCGACCAAGAAAUCCCGCACAGUGAAAUAUCUCCAGAUCAUGACCGCUUCCUGUCAAAUCACCUGCGCAAUCCCUUGAUUACUGUGCGAACAGUUACCAUAUCCACCUGAGUAUUGUAACACCCCAGUGUUAUGGUUGCUUUAAUCAUGUGCAUAGUAUGAGCAUCAUCAUCUACUCAAAGCAUAUCAUGAUCAUCAUCUAUCUUGAGCCAUGUCAUUCUAUGCAAAUAUGUAAUCUAAAUUGCUUAAAUAGGCUUCCUAUGCUUAUGUUGGAGUGAACCAUGCUUGUGUUUGUGCUCUAUGCCUUGGUAAUUAGUUUAUUUAUGUUUAACUUAACCUUGGGAACAAUGUUCAUGUUGAUCACUUCUCCAAAAUAAUCAUUUAAGUCAUACUUGUGCUAAUAGGCCCUAGAAACCUCUUUUGCUUAGGCUUUUAAAAAGUGUUUCAUAAAAUGUUUGCAUGUCAAAACUUUCUACAGCAAAGUUGUAGUAAAUUUUAUAAGGAACAAAAGUUGUUUUAUGGCCAUCUCAUGAAAAUGACCACAAAUAGCUCAAAAGUGACCCACAACGCAAAUUUGGGGCUGUUUCCAACACUAGUUUGCUCGAUCGAUUUUGAAAACUUUAUAACUCUCAAUCCAUGCCGAUCUAGCUCUUGCUCCAGUUGAAAGAGUUGUAGAUCUCGGCUAGUACUCCAACUUUGUCAACUACAUCAUCUCCUAACUCGCUCUGGUUUGGAAGUUAUUCAUCGUUGAAGUCGCUCUGUCAGACAGUCGCCGUUUUCUCUGAAUCGAAGCCGAGCUCGCCGUCGUGGAUGGCCAGAGCGCCACCUGUCCGCCAGAUGGCGCCCAUAUGCCGGCGAUGGCCCCGCUCGUCAGCUCCCAGCGCGCGCAUGACGUCCACGGUGACGCCCCGAGCAGAGUGGACGCGUCCACUCUCGCUUCCUCGCCCUCUCGCGCCUGUAACCCGACCGCAGCGAGCUCACCGUCGCGAGCUCACUCCGGCGAGCUCGUGUGCGCUCCUCGCUGCGUCUCAGUCCACCAAAUUCCACCCACAGCUCCGCCAUGAGCCGCUCUUCACUUCCCACCCUCUAACUCGCCGCGAAACCCACCGGUGAGCCGCCAUUUCCUUCUUCCCCCAACUCGGGUCGUCGUGACCAUCUUUUCCGGCGAACUCAAUGCCGGGCUCUGUGAAGCCGCUCGUCUUCUCUGGUUAGGUCCGAGAGGUAGAGUAGGUUCUCAGCGAGCGUUUGCGCCACUUGGUGGACGCUCUACCGAACUCUCCGUCAGCGGACACGAUGCGCAGCGCCGCCGUGUUUCCGCCGGAGAUGGGUGCUCUCGUGGCCAGCGUGCUCCACGAGGUUUCAAGCCAAGCCGCGUACAAAAGUUCCGCUUGCUUCGGUUGACUGAAGGUUUGAAGGCAGAGUAUGUAGCUCAUCAACUGCAGGGUCCAACAGGCAUCUGGUGGAAUCAGUAUCGGGAAGCUCUUCCAGCCGACACUGUGCUUGACUGGAAUCUUUUCCGUGAUGCUUUUAAAGGGCAUUUCAUUCCUCCUGGUGUCAUGGAGAUGAAGCAUACUGAGUUCAUGCAAUUAACCCAGGGUAACAAAACUUUGAAGGAGUAUUUGCAUGCUUUCAAUCAUUUGUCUAGGUAUGCUCCAGAGUUUGUGAACACUGAGGCGAAAAAGAUUGCUAGUUUCAAGCGGGGUUUGGGCCCCAAGUUGCUGAAGACUAUGGGCCGCACUAAGUGUGCAACUUUCAAUGAGUUUGUCAGUGAUGCUCUCACUCAAGAGAACUAUAACACUGUGUACACUGCUACCAAGACUCGCAAGAGGGCUUUUGAGGCCGGGACAGGGUCAUCUCAGUCCAAGGCUCCAGUGGCAGCUAAGCCACCGUUCCGCGCUCCAACGCCUAACCAGCGGUACCGCCCUCCGGUGAAGAAGAAUCAGGCGAAGACGGGUUUUCGCAAGGGGUACUCUAUUGCUCUUCCUAAGGGCAACACGGGUCCCAACUAUGCCAAGACUCCACCUGCCAACCGUCUGUGCUGGAACUGCAAUCAGACCGGGCAUUGGCAGAGCAACUGUCCUUACCCGCCAAAGAAGGUCAAUCAAGGGAAUGUCCGUCAGGGGCGUGUUCACUACACUACUGUAGAAGCAAUCCCUGCUGGUGAGGUAGUUACGGCUGGUAAGUUUCUAGUCAAUCAACAUGACGCACUUGUGCUUUUUGAUUCAGGAGCAUCGCAUUCUUUUGUGAGUUCUGAAUUUGUGUCUAACAAUAAUAUCAAGGCAUUUACACUUGAUAAGGGCAGUUAUUGUAUUAGUGCUGCGGGAAAUGAUAUUUCCACCAAUCAAGUGGUUUUGGGGGCAACUCUGGAAAUAGGAGGCCGUCAGUUUCUUGCUGAUUUGGUUGUUCUACCCGGUGUGGGCAUAGAUCUAAUUCUGGGGAUGAAGUGGAUGAGUGGCAAUGGAGUUCUUAUCGACACCACCACUCAUGUAGUGAUGUUGAAAGACCCAAACACCAAGAAGGCAUUUCUAGUGCAACUUCCUCGGGAUAUUCAAAUCCCUAGCACUAUGAAUGCAGUUACAUCUAAGGCUAUUCAGGAUAUUCCGGUGGUGUGUGAGUUCCCGGAUGUUUUUCUUGAUGAUUUGCCCGGGCUUCCUCCGGAUCGGGAUGUGGAGUUCAAAAUUGAAUUGAUUCCCGGUACCGCUCCUAUCUCUAGAAGACCUUAUAGAAUGCCACCCAAUGAAUUAGCUGAGCUUAAGACCCAGUUGAAUGAGUUGUUGAAGAAGGGUCUUAUCCGUCCUAGUUCAUCUCCGUGGGGUUGUCCGGCUAUCUUUGUGAAGAAGAAGGAUCAAUCCUUGUGCAUGUGUGUGGACUAUCGUCCCCUAAAUGCGGUGACCAUCAAGAAUAAAUACCCUCUUCCUCGCAUUGAUAUCUUGUUUGAUCAGUUGUCUAAAGCCAAGGUAUUCUCCAAGAUUGACUUGCGAUCUGGGUACCAUCAGAUCAAGAUCCGUCCUGAAGAUGUACCUAAGACAGCUUUCUCGACAAGGUAUGGGUUGUACGAGUAUCUCGUCAUGUCCUUCGGUCUUACAAAUGCACCUGCUCACUUCAUGUAUCUCAUGAAUUUGGUGUUCAUGCCCGAAUUGAACAAGUUUGUGGUGGUCUUCAUUGACGAUAUCUUGGUAUACUCCUGCAAUGAAGAGGAGCAUGCAGAGCAUCUGCGUAUAAUGUUGUCGCGUUUGCACGAACAUCAGCUUUAUGCCAAGUUUAGCAAAUGCGAGUUUUGGCUGAAGAAAGUACCUUUCUUGGGCCAUGUCUUAUCUGAAGAAGGCAUAUCGGUGGACCCAACCAAGGUGCAAGAGGUGCUGGAUUGGAAAGUUCCAACUUCGGUACACGAGGUUCGGAGUUUUCUUGGUCUGGCUGGAUAUUAUUGUCGAUUCAUUCCUGAAUUCUCAAAGAUAUCUAAGCCUAUGACUUGUCUACUUCAGAAGGAUGAGAAGUUUGUGUGGACGCCUGAGUGUGAAGAGGCAUUCCACAAGUUGAGGACAUUGCUGACAUCAGCUCCUGUCCUAGCUCAACCUGAUAUCGAAAAGCCCUUCGAUGUCUUUUGUGACGCGUCAGGCAUUGGUUUAGGCUGUGUGUUGAUGCAGGAAGGUCGCGUUAUCGCGUAUGCCUCGCACCAACUUCGAAAGCAUAAGGUUAAUUACCCUACUCAUGACUUAGAAUUGGCAGCAGUUGUUCUUGCUUUGAAAAUCUGGAGGCAUUAUUUGCUGGGUAAUCUGUGUAAUAUCUACACCGAUCAUAAAAGCCUCAAGUAUAUCUUCACUCAACCUGAACUGAACAUGCGGCAGCGAAGGUGGCUUGAGUUGAUUAAAGAUUAUAAUCUACAAGUGCACUAUCAUCCGGGCAAGGCGAACGUGGUAGCGGAUGCCUUGAGUCGGAAAGCGCACUGUCACUCAAUCCAAGUCGAAGAUCUGUUGUUAUCACAUCUUAUGCAUCCAUUUGUGCUCCACCAGAUUUCUUUAGAGAGUGCUCUUCGCAAUCGAGUCAUCGAAUUGCAGCAAUCAGAUGUAGGCAUCCACCAUAUAAAGAGGAAAAUGAAGGAAGAGGAAACCAAGCAUUUCCGGAUCGAUGAGAAUGGGAUUCUUUGGUUCAAAGAUCGACUAGUGGUCCCAAAAGACCGCGAGCUGCGAAAUCAGAUAUUGUCUGAAGCUCAUUCAUCCAAAUUGUCUAUCCAUCCUGGUAGUAGCAAGAUGUAUCAGGAUCUAAAACCUUUGUUUUGGUGGACAAAGAUGAAAAAGGAGAUCGCUGCUUUUGUCGCUCGAUGUGACAAUUGUUGUCGUGUGAAGGCUGUUCACAUGAAAGCUGGUUUGCUUCAACCCUUGUCAAUUCCUGGUUGGAAAUGGGAAGAAGUCAGCAUGGAUUUCAUCAGUGGGCUCCCAACUUCUGUUAAGGGCUACGACUCCAUCUGGGUGAUUGUAGAUCGUUUGACCAAGGUUGCUCAAUUUAUUCCAGUCCGAACUGACUAUCGUCCACAUCAAUAUGCAUAAUUGUAUUUCGAGCACAUUGUUCGUCAGUAUGGUGUGCCUCGAACUAUUAUAUCAGAUCGUGGACCACAGUUCACUGCUCGUUUUUGGGAAUGUCUGCAUGAGCAGAUUGGUACUCAUUUAGUCCGUAGCUCUGCUUAUCAUCCCCAAAUGACUGGUCAAACUGAACGGGUUAACCAAAUCUUAGAAGACAUGUUGAGGGCAUGUGCUCUCUCUUCGAAAGGUUCUUAGGUUAAGUGGCUGCCAUUAGCUGAGUUCUCCUACAACAAUAGUUAUCAGGAGAGUAUCAAGAUGGCUCCAUUUGAAGCCCUGUACGGUCGAAAGUGUCGAACCCCGUUGAAUUGGGUAGAAGCCGGAGAACGAAGGUAUUAUGGCAUCAAUUUCGUGAACGAAGCAGAGCAGAAGGUCCGUACCAUUCAGCAACAUCUGGAAGCUGCUCAAGCUCGUCAGAAAAGUUAUGUCGACAAAAGAAGGAAGCUGAUUGAGUUUUCAGUUGGCGACCAUGUGUAUAUCAAGGUGUCUCCGAUGAAGGGUGUACAAAGGUUCGGGGUCAAGCGAAAGCUUGCGCCUCGUUAUGUGGGACCUUAUCGGAUUCUCGAAAAGAAAGGGAAUGUGGCGUACAAAGUUCAACUUCCAGUUGCGCUUCGAGCUAUUUUCCCUGUCUUCCACGUAUCACAAUUAAAGAAGUGCCUUCGUGUACCGGAGGAACAAGUGGAAGUUCGAGAUAUCAAGUUGAAGUCAGACCUGGUGUAUGAGGAGAAACCCGUAGCGAUUCUUGAUCGCAAGGAACGGGAGACUAGUAAUCGUGUGGUUAAGCUCUACAAGGUGUUGUGGAGUAACCACGGGGAGGAAGAUGCCACUUGGGAGACGGAGGAUUAUUUAAGAGAAGUUUACAAAACAUUCUUCGAAAAUCAGUAAGCUUUCAAAUCUCGGGAUGAGAUUUUUGUAAGGGGGGAGGGCUGUAACACCCCAGUGUUAUGGUUGCUUUAAUCAUGUGCAUAGCAUGAGCAUCAUCAUCUACUCAAAGCAUAUCAUGAUCAUCAUCUAUCUUGAGCCAUGUCAUUCUAUGCAAAUAUGUAAUCUAAAUUGCUUAAAUAGGCUUCCUAUGCUUAUGUUGGAGUGAACCAUGCUUGUGUUUGUGCUCUAUGCCUUGGUAAUUAGUUUAUUUAUGUUUAACUUAACCUUGGGAACAAUGUUCAUGUUGAUCACUUCUCCAAAAUAAUCAUUUAAGUCAUACUUGUGCUAAUAGGCCCUAGAAACCUCUUUUGCUUAGGCUUUUAAAAAGUGUUUCAUAAAAUGUUUGCAUGUCAAAACUUUCUACAGAAAAGUUGUAGCAAAUUGUAUAAGGAACAAAAGUUGUUUAAUGGCCAUCUCACGAAAAUGAUCACAAAUAGCUCAAAAGUGACCCACAAGGCAAAUUUGGGGCUGUUUCCAACACUUAGAAAAUUUUCUAAGUCCUGGAACGAAACCAGUUUGCUCGAUUGAUUUUGAAAACUUUAUAACUCUCAGUCCAUGCCGAUCUAGCUCUUGCUCCAGUUGACAAAGUUGUAGAUCUCGGCUAGUACUCCAACUUUGUCAACUACAUCAUCUCCUAACUCACUCUGGUUUGGAAGUUAUUCAUCGUUGAAGUCACUCUGUCACACAGUCGCCGUUUUCUCUGAAUUGAAGUCGAGCUCGCCGUCGUGGAUGGCCAGAGCGCCACCUGUCCGCCAGAUGGGGCCCGUACGCCGGCGAUGGCCCCGCUCGUCAGCUCCCAGCACGCGCAUGACGUCCACGGUGACGCCCCGAGCAGAGUGGACGCGUCCACUCUCGCUUCCUCGCCCUCUCGCGCCUGUAACCCGCCCGCAGCGAGCUCACCGUCGCGAGCUCACUCCGGCGAGCUCAUGUGCGCUCCUCGCUGCGUCUCAAUCCACCAAAUUCCACCCACAGCUCCGCCGUGAGCCGCUCUUCACUUCCCACCCUCUAACUCGCUGCGAAACCCACCGGUGAGCCGCCAUUUCCUUCUUCCCCCAACUCGGGUCGCCGUGACCAUCUUUUCCGGCGAACUCAAUGCCGGGCUCUGUGAAGCCGCUCGUCUUCUCUGGUUAGGUCCUAGAGGUAGAGUAGGUUCUCAGCGAGUGUUUGCGCCACUUGGUGGACGCUCUACCGAACUCUCCGUCGCCGGACACGAUUCGCUGUGUUUAUGUGGAACUAUUACGAUCUUGGUUUUUUGCGACUUGGUUUGAAGUCCUUCGUGAUUUCAAUUGACUACCGGGAUUAUAUGGGCUCAAGUUUGGAAACUUGAUUUCAUUGUGGAUCGUUUCUACACUUGAACUCUUAUAAUUUGGUCGGUUCUGUGACAAGUAUCCUCAGAUUUCACGGAUACGGUGAAGAGAUAAGUCAAAUUUUCCCUUGCCCGUUUUGUCCUAUAAAUACUUCCUUCUCGGAUACUCCUUCUCCAUCGCAUCAUUCUACAGCCCCAACUCUACUUUCCUGGCGGUGGCACUGUUCGAGAGCUCCAAGAACUCCAACAAGAACUUCCUCCAACAACUCCCAAGUUUUCGAUAUUCUCCCCUGCAAGUAGAUGGCCAUCAACUUCGUCGUUCCUGAGGUCAGCGUACUGCCCUUUUUCCCGUACUUUUACUGUACCCCUGUUCAUCUGCAAUCUGUCUUACCGAAUCCUUUUUCUUUUUGUUCUUCUUUUCACUCCCAAAAAUUUCUAGGAUUUGGCCGAUAAAAUCGUUAUUCCUACCGAUCAACCCCAUCUCCAAUUCCUUGGUCCACUAGGAAACUUGGAUCCCACCGAUCUUAUAAACGCAAAGACAAACAGAAUCCCUUUUAGAGCCGAGAAUUUCUCUCUAGAUCUAUGGAAAGAUGUUUUCUGUUCCUGGCCUAGUCCUACUAAGGGAUGGAAGGAUUGGUUCCUGAGAGUCAGUAACUCAAAUGAGGUCCAAUGGGGUGAACGGAAACUGGAUCAGUGCAUUAGAUUGUCUCUUGCCGAUAUGGAGAGAAAUGAGUCACUACUGAUAGCUACCUCAUACUUUUGGUCAGAUACACUCAAUGCUUUUGUGUUUGGCCAUGGCCCUGCUUCUCCUACACUUGCCGAUGUGCUUAUGCUCACCGGCUUAAAUAUAUCCACUGCCGAUACCACCCACCUGUUUGAUACCAAACCCAGUGCUAAGGUGGAAACUCGUUGUAUCGGCGGUUGGUCAGGGUACAUCCAGAAAUACCGAAGAACAUGCCCUGUCAAUAUAAAAGAACAGACCACUUUUCUGAACAUGUGGCUGGAUAAAUUCGUAUUCUGUGGCCGAUCGGCAGGACCAACUUCUAUUUACUUAUCGGCAGCAGAAAGAUUAGCCAAUGGCGGCCGAUUUCCUCUUGGCCGAUACUUGCUUGGCUCGGCUUAUCACCUCCUCCAUCAGGUAGCCCAGAAACUAUUGCUUGGUCAACCCAUCGGCAACUUAGGGGGUCCCUGGUGGUUUAUCAACAUGUGGCUUAGUCUUCACAUGCACAAACACCUUGAGUUCGACCUCUUUACACAGCGCUUCCCCAGGGAUAUAGUCGAGGAUUAUGAACUAGGUGAAGAAGAAUCGGCGACUCGUUCCCCUCUGAACUUUGGCGAAGCCGCCAUAGUUUUGCCUGGCACAGGUGGCAACGCAGACCAGGUUAGCCGAUUCUUCCAAACCCUGUAUGAGGGUUUGACCAGGGAACAGCGGGCAUGGAUGCCCUAUGAAGAUCCAGACACCAGAUUCCCUCUGACUUUCCACCCCUUCAAUGAUGCUCUCCACAAGGAUCGUGAGGUGAUGAUGGCAAUUAUCACCCCAGAGCUAUACCGGUAAACUUCUUUGGCAGUGGGAAAGCUUCUAAUGUGACUUAUGAGUUCUACAAUCCAUCGGCACUAGCUCGUCAACUGGCUUUUGGCCAACUGCCGAUUGCACUUUGCUACGCCGAUGUGAUAAAGCCGAGGGAGAUUAUCACCAGCCAUCUGGAAUGGAUCAGGGUAGCCCAACUUCCACCAAACGCCGAUACAGAUGUCGAUCUAUCGGCUUGGAUCCCAGCUCUCUUCAUCACUCAGGCAUACAAACAGUGGUGGGAAGAAUGGAAAGAGCACCUGUUCUGUAGAUCGGCUCUUACAUACCGUGGCAUAAUCGACCCUCAAUACAAAGUCCCUGAUAACACUAUAAGUACUUCUAAACCGAUGUUUCAAUCCUCUCAUUUUCACUUUUCAUCGGUAUCUUACUUCCUUGUUAUAUGCAGGUCAAUGACACACCCCCAUUGGUCAGCAGGAGUGGCAAGCCGAUUGAGCUCCUUCCAUCGGGUACGAUCUCUUUGAUCGGCAACAACGCUCCAACUCUGGCUGCUAUAAUGCAUCGUGGCGUGCGUCUCAAGAAAGUUACCACCAAGCGGGCGAAGAUAUCCCCAUCGGUAGCUGCUUCUACCCUAGCACAAGCCUUCAAGGUAAAUUUUUGACUUCUUUUACUCAUACCGAUUCUAUCCUGAUACUUAUUACACUUGUACUCAUGAACUUCUCACUGUUGUAUCAGCACACCGGUACAUCGGCAAAGACCAGAAGCAUGACUGCCGAUGCCCCCCAGUCCAGUCAACCGAAGAGAAAAGGUUCCAAGAGUACCAGAUUACAAGCAAAGCGCCAGAGAACAGUAACGCCUUCUCCUCCCCCAGUAUCUCCGAUUCCAGUAGAAUCAUCCCCCUCUUCUCCAGAAAUCCAGACACAGCAGAUUCCAUCUCCUCCUCAGUCACAAGAAGAACCCCAAGUGGAAGAGCCCCAGCCAAAAGUACCUCAGCCAGAAGAAAUACCGGCUGAUGUACACGAGCAGACUACCGAUCCAGCAAGCCUAAUCAUAGCAUCGGUAGUCUCCUCAAUCCAGACAAGCACUGCACCCCCUCAAGGUAAUAUACUUUCCAUUUACUGCCGAUGAACCUAUUUUUCCACUUUAUUAAUUGCUUCUGUCAAUCUUUCAGCUGACAUAGUUUCAUCGGCAAUUCUAGCCGAUCAGCCCGUGGUUCCAUCGGCGUCAUCUAGUCAGAGGCGAGAGAUGGCCCUGAAACAAGUAAGUUACCCAAUCUCUAUCUGUAUUGUUUAUCAGUGCUUGAUCAUCGAAUAACUUAUUUUAUUUUCCUUUUCAGGAACAAGACUCUCCUGACAGCUUGUUCUCCUUUGCCAUCGACAUCUCUGAGGAUGAAGGCGAGGAGGCAAGUUCUUCUCGAGCUAUUGGAAUCUCAUCGGCAGAAAUCAGAGCAAAGUUAGAAGAAUUAUCAGCCCUCCUUCAUCAAGACACGGCCCAAUUGGUCGACGACUCCGAUCUGGCCAAGGCCUUGUUCAAGACUCUCAGAGGCCAAAUUCCUGUCGAUGCCGAGGAGAUCCUCUUCAAGGCUGCUCACUUAGAAAGUCGGCAGCUUCAAUAUCAAAAGGCCGCUCAGCGCCUUGCCAUAGGGCUAAUCACGCCCAGCUCAUAGAAGAGAUGAUAAAAGUGAAGCUCCUUGCCGAUGAAAAGCACAAGAGCAUCGGCAUCUUGAAAUCCUCAGGAGAUGUGCUGAAGCACAAAAUCUCUGACCUAUCGGCAAAGAGAGAAGCCCUGUUGGCAGAACUCAAACAGGUAGAAGAAGCUUUGUCCCAAGCUCAACAAGAAGAAAGCCAGCUGCCUGAGGCGAUCAAGAUUCUUGAACAAGAGCGAAAUGUCCAAGCCCGCAAAGCACUACAGAUGAAGAAGAAGCUGAAGCCAGUGGAGGGCUCUGCCGAUGAUGACAUGAAGGAGAUUGAAGAAGCCAACCAGAUCCAUCUGCGCGCCAUAUCGACGAUCCAGUCUUUGUUAAACAUGUGAAUCCUUCAUCGGUGGCAUACUUUGCUCUUUUCUUUUAAACAAUCCUGAUAUUUUUGGUCUAGCCGAUAGGACUGUUAUCGGCACCUUUUAAAACAUUGAGUUUGGCCCCAGAUAUACUUUGAUCCAGCCGAUAGGAAUGUCAUCGGCACUCUAAACUUUUAUGCAUCAACCCAUAUGCUAGGAUAAUAUUUCUUUAGAUACUUGCCGUUCAAUGCCCUGGGAAAUUCAACUCCUUCGAGAGUCUCUAAAACAUAAGCGUUACCAGGAGCAGAUCGAUUUAUCCGAUAAGGACCCUCCCAAUUGGGAGACCACUUCCCAAAUUUUGAACUUUUAGUCCCAAUCGGUAAGAUUAGUUUCCAUACUAAGUCUCCAUCGGCAAACUCCUUAGCCUUUACCUUCUUAUCAUAUCAUCUGGCAACUCUCUUCUUAUUCUCUUCUAUACUUAUCAAAGCCCUUAGCCGAUGCCCUGCUAAAUCAUCCAACUCAUCGGUCAUCAAAGUAGCAUAAUCAUCGGCAGCCAAUUGAUCUUGAAAAGAUAAUCGCCUAGACCCAGUUUUAAUUUCCCAAGGUAACACUGCAUCAUGUCCAUACACCAACUGAUAAGGUGAAACUUUGGUCGACCCAUGACAAGCCAUCUGAUAUGACCAUAAAGCUUCAUUCAACAACGUAUGCUACCUCCUAGGAUUUUCUUCAAUCUUUCGUUUAAUAAGCUUGAUAAUUCCUUUGUUAGAUGCCUCGGCCUGCCCAUUAGCUUGAGCAUAAUAAGGAGAAGAAUUUAAUACUUUAAUUCCCAAACCGAUUGCAAACUCAUCAAACUCUCCUGAUGUGAACAUAGUACCCUGAUCGGUAGUAAUUGUUUGAGGAAUUCCAAAUCGGUAAAUAAUAUGCUCUUUCACAAAAUCAAUCAUAUUGGCCGAUGUGACUUUCUUCAAAGGAAUAGCUUCAACCCACUUGGUGAAAUAAUUGGUGGCAACCAAGAUGAAUUUAUGUCCUUUACUCGAUGGUGGGUAAAUUUGGCCGAUUAGAUCAAUAGCCCAUCCCCAGAACGGCCAAGGUUUAAUAAUGGGAUUCAUGGCCGAUGCGGGUGCCCUUUGAAUAUUGCCAAAUUUCUGACAUCCUUAACACCCCUUGAAGUAUUUAAAACAAUCUUCAAGUAUGGUUGGCCAAUAAUACCCAUUCCUCCUAAUCAUCCACUUCAUCUUAAAAGCUGACUGAUGUGCUCCACACACUCCUUCAUGGAUUUCUCCCAUUAAACUUUUAGCCUCAUCAUCACCUAAGCAUUUGAGAAGAAUUCCAUCAAUUGUUCGAUAAUAUAAUUCAUCUUCGAGGAGCACAUACUUGGUGGCUUGAAACCGAACACGUCUCUCAACUUUCUUGGACAGAUCUUUCAAAUAAUCAACGAUUUCCCUUCUCCAAUCAUCAACACUGAUUGCCGAUAUUGUGUUUAAUAUGGGCUGAUAUCCCGAGGCAUGCUGAGCCAGCCGAUUGGCCUCUUCAUUAUGCAAUCGAGGAAUAUGCUCUAAUCGGAAAUCCUUGAAUUCCUUUAACAGUUGCAUACUCCUUUCAUAAUACGUUAUUAAGACCUCACUUCGGCAUUCAUAACUUCCAGCCAAUUGAUUUAUAACCAACAUAGAAUCUCUGAAGAUUUCAACAGCAUCAGCACGAACCUCUUUUAACAACUCCAACCCCUUAAUUAAGGCUUGAUAUUCAGCUUGAUUAUUUGUCGACGUGGCAACAAUCGGCAAGAACAAUUCAUACUUCCUUCCCCAAGGGGAAAUUAACAUUAUGCCGAUUCCUGCCCCCCGGUCACACGUGGAUCCAUCAAAGAAGAGCGUCCAAGACACAAUUUCCAAAGUUUCAGCUGCACCACAAUGUUGAGUUACAAAAUCGGCCAUAAUCUGUCCUUUAACCGCCUUAGCCGAUUCGUAACGCAAAUCAAAUUCCGAUAGUGCCAAGAUCCAUUUACCGAUUCUGCCACUCAUUAUCGGCAUAGAUAGCAUAUACCGGACCACAUCAUCUUUGCAUAUAACAGUGCAUUCGGCCGAUAGUAAAUAGUGCCUCAAUUUAAUACAUGAAAAAUAUAGGCAUAAACAUAACUUUUCAAUGGCCGAAUACCUGGUCUCAGCAUCAACCAAUCUCCUGCUUAAAUAGUAAAUCACACGCUCCUUCCCUUCAAAUUCUUGAAUCAAAUGGAGCAACAAGGUGUCAUAAGAUCAAAGAAGCACAAAGAUGGCAAAAUGAAUGAGUACAACAGAGGAGACAAGAUGUUCAUGAACAACUCAAGAUGCAAGAGAAGGAAAGGACCACCAGUCAUCUACCCUUCAUCACUUAGUGUCAUCACGCUCUAACAAUGAAGGUAAUAUCCUUAGGUAAGUGGUCACUUCUCUUGUCUCGAUCUUGGUGCAUACAUAAAUGUAGACACAAAUAUGUUAGAGUUACAAUUUAAAUUGAUUAACCUAAUUAACUCAACAUGAUUUGUCAUUUAAGAUUGUUCAUGGUGCCAUUCUUUUAAUCUCGGUCUUAACCAAAUGAGAUAAAACAUUAUAUUCGAUCUUUGGAAGAUGAUGGUCAUACUCAUGUGAAAAUUUAUAUAUUAUAGAUAGACAAUCCUUCAAUUGGUUAAGCAAUUUGAAUCUUUUCUAUCAUGUGAAUUUAAAUGCAACAUUAAAAUGCUUAAUCUUCUUAUCUUACCACUUAUGUCAUAAGUAAACAAAUUAUGCAAUAUUAACUUUGUCUUGUUUAAUGUGCCUAAGGAUAGAGAAAAAAUAAAUAAAGAGAUAUAUUUGGUUUUGUUAGUGUUUGUCCAACAGUAGAGCCAAUGUACUUGAUCUCUACCUUAGUUUUGUAGAUAGUAUAACACUUCGAGCAAAAUUGUUAAUUCUACAAGUGAAAGUGCUAUGAGCAUACACACUAAGCAAGAUGCUGCUAGCUGCUAUUAAAGAUCUACUUCAAUCUGUUGGCCAAGCCAAAGAACAAAGUGACAUCACCAUUACUAGAGGAUGCAAUCAUCAAAGACUUUUGUCUUUAAGAUGGAGAGGUACACAUGAGUGGAAGAAGAAGUUUUGUCGGUAAACUUUAAAUUUUGUACCCUUGCCAUGAGGUAAUAUGGUAGUUAUCUUAUUAAAUUAGUAUUCAUUAGUAAUUUUACUUCAACACAUUUAGUAGCACAUUCAUUCUUCUUUGCACAUUAAAUAUAAAACAACAACAAAAAAUAUUUACUGCUUAUUUACUGCAUCAUAAAACAUUAAAAGUCCCAUGUGAACAAACUUAUGGUUACCCUGUAGGAAUAUUUAAUGUGGUGGCAUAAAAAUAAUAAUAGCUUUUGUAUUUACUUUCUUGCAUUAUGAAAAUCCUAAGCCCCAUAAGAAUAAAUAUUCUCUGUGGAGGCAUAAAAAUACAACUAUAUAUCAUGACUCAUAUUUAAUUCUGCAUAAUUAAAACUAGAAAAUCCUAAAAAAAGAAUCCUGCUAGAAUCUAUCAAUUAAAAUCAACUUAUAAGAAUAAUCAAUUACUCUUUGGCUGACCACUAAUCUCUUAAUAAAUUGAAGCCUCGAGUUUUGGUUUUCUUGUUGGAGUAUAGUUAUGGAGGAGAAAUAUUAUGAUGAGGAGAGGGUCUAUCAGAGGCGCCCACAAGGACUAUUGCUGGUUAGCUCACUCUGAAGAUCAUCAAUACCAAGUAUGGUAGAAAUCUAGCUUGGGGGAGGAGCAUCCCCUAAUUAUCCAAAAAGUCUACAGGAAAAUAAGUGUGGGGGAAGCACCAUGAAAUUCUGAAACUCAAUUCGAUCGGAGAAUCACAUCAUUCGGGAGAUAGUCAUUCUACGACCACACACGACGAAGCAGGGCCUGAGCAUCCACAUGGGCCCACCACCCUUUAUGCGCUGGCCGGCGCCCCCUUCCUCUACUGCCGUCAGGUUUGAGCCCAAUACGAUAUAUUCGCAUGUUUUGAUUACCGUUCCGAACAUUAUAUAACACUUUUCUGGAAUUAUAAUUACUGCUAGGAAUCCCAUGAUUGCUUAAGUUUUUGUGGAACAUAAGAUAGCCGAAUAAUGAAAACUCAAUUCCUGAUAUUUGGGCUUUGAAGAUUUUAAUUCAAAUAUUUAAAAACACUUAGCUAUACUUCUCCUUUGUGGUAAAAAAAAUGUUUCCUAUACACUAUAAGUAAUGAUUAAUUUGCCUUAGCUACUUGUUUUUUAUUCUGAGUUCCCAAGAUCAAGAUCUUUUAAAGUUAAAAGUUAUAAAAAAUCCCUCUUGAGAAGUAUUAUUAUGAAGGAGGCCUGAGCUAUGCAAAAAAUAUCUGAGGAAAUAAAAAUGGACAAGUGUCCAAAACCUCAAAGAGAUAGAUCCCAAGAAAAUAAAAAUGGACAAGUGUCUGAAACCUCAAAGAGAUAGAUCCCGAGGAAAUAAAAAGGGACAAGUGUCCGAAACCUCGAUCUAGAAAAAAAGAGCACGUGCUCAACAGUAGAAUUAGCCUCAUAGCUUAUGGUCCUCCCGACAUAAUAUGCCAAGCAAGAGAGGAUCGUUUUCAAAAAAGAAAUAAGUAUGUCCUGAUCUAGGAGUAUGAUACUCCUCUCCCUGAUUUUAAGUGUUGACUUGAUCAAAAGCUUGUGUGCUAAAGAAGGAAAUAUAAAAUAAUGUUUCGACAAAGAUACAGGAAUUUAUUAAAUGCUACAAAAGGAGAAGGGCAAGCUAAGUUCUAGGAAAUCAACCUACUCUCCAAUAGACCUGAUUAAGGAAAAGAGUGAUCUGUUUCAAGCUGUUCUGUUCUUCAACUACUAAAAGAUUCAUGGUAGAAGCUUCGAAUUCCACAGUAAGAGAUAUGACUAGAUUUAUCUUUAUGCAAAUAUAUAUUAUGCUCUGAAUGCUAAAACCAACCUUUUUCUCGGGACGAGUAAAAGCCUAAGUGUGGGGGUAAUUGUUGACACCUGUUGAUGCCUAAUUUUUAUAAUCAAUUAUCCCGACAUAAUAUAUAAACACCCAGUAGAAUAGGGAGGUUACUAAUAAUUUCCAUGAGUUUUGGUGAAUUAUAUAUUUUCAAGGAUUAUUCUGAGAAAGGCAUAAAGAAGGACUACAGUGAGUAUUUACCACGAAACUUAACCGCAAAGGAAACCAACAGUCAUUGGAACGAGGGAAGGAUCUGGAAGCUACCCGAAGAAGCGGGACCCCAGUUGACACUCGGUGGCGCUGGCCGGCCCCACUAGGGUGCCGGGCUACACCCCCUGGCACGGCUCGGGUCUAGCUUUUGGAAUGUUCCUCCACCGCCUAUGAGGAGUCAUCUCGGCUGUUGCUUCCAUCGAUUUGAUCCUCUGACGCUCGUUUUACCCUGACGGACCAUAUUCAAGACAGAUUCGGCCCAAGUUUGGCCCAACAAGGCUUAGUUGCAUUAUUAUGAGGUGGUUGGAGGAUUUGUACCACAUCGCUUGCUCAAGGAGGAGGAGGCCAGGCUCCCCCCAUAUAAUACACCCCAGGGGUCCCUCCCAAGACGCACCAUCUACAGAGCUUCAAUUUAGAUUUUCAAUUAGGGUUAGAUGUAGCAAUCAAGAUAGAGAGUAGAGGGAGAAAGUAGAAGAGUAGAGUCUUGGAGGAGCUCCGACCUGUCGGCGUCUCUCCACUGUUGUAUUUGUCUCGAGUCGGCUCCCUAACCCAGAGUCGGGUUCUAAGGUACUUUUGUAGUUUACCUUUUGGUGCGUGUACGCGAUUGUUCUGGCCAUUCUUAAGUUUGCAUCUUGUAUUGAGUAUUAUUCUCUUUAUGAGUACUUUGAUCUUGGUAAUUUCUAGAUUAGAGUAGUAUUCGUGACGUAGACGUGGUGUCUAGGUUGUGGGUGCUUUGUGAAUGUCCCUUGUCUUGCCGGAUGGUGGUAGUCCGCGUAGGUGACAGCUGCGUUGGUUCCUUUGUAGUCCAUCUCCCACGGAAGGUUUGAUAGGUGUAUAGGUGCCGAUGGGAGGAGUACUCUGGUAUUGCUCUUCUUGCUUAGGUUAACCGCCCAGUUAGCAUGGUCUUUUCAAAGCUUGCAUAGUACCGGGAUAGAGAUAGUCAUUUGAUAACUCCUUUGUCUUGUUUUCUCUCUAGAUUGAUUGCAUGCCCCAUUAGAUUAAGAAUCAUAAACCUAGUCUAUUUCACCUACUGUUCCUUCGGGUUUGAUAUUAACCGGUAUAAUCUUGGAGAAGUGCUACAUCGGUAUUAUAUUUGUGCACUUGCCGGUAAUCUUAUUUACAUAUAUUUAGGUGCAGUUAAUUUAUACCAACAAUUAUCAUCAACUAGAAGUCAGGAAGGAGGAGGAGAAGCUCAUAUGGAUGACCGACACCCGGAGAGUGGAUGUCACUUUUUCUGAUCUUGCAAAAGUUUGCAGAAUGGACUACAUUUUCAUGAAGCAAGGGACAACAUUAUAUAAAAUUAAGGAGCCAGAGAAUGAGGAGGUACAACAUCUGCUUCACUACCAGGAAACUUCAAAGUAUGGUACUAGUGGAGGCCUGAGGAUGUUCCUGUUGACAUUUCUUAGCAUCGCUACUAAUAUGGAGUUCUAAAUCUAUCCCUAGUAACAAUGCCAAAAAUAUUGGUUGGUAUAAAUUAAGGUAGCACUUGUUAACAAUAAUAGUCACUAGAAAACUCUACACACCCAACUGUAAACCAUGUUGUCAUCCCCAACAAUAGAGUUAGAGAGUGGAUCACAUACUUUGGUUUUUAAGUCAGUUGAGAAAGAGAGAGAGUGGGUCACAUACUUUGGUUUCUAUUAAGAUACUUGUGUGUGAUUGCAUUGUGGGCCAUCCAUCCAGAUGGCUCUUUGUUAAUUCAGUUUUAUUUGUCUAUGUUGUUGCACUUUGGGCCAUCCAUCAUUAUGGCACCUUGUUAAUUCGGUUUCUUAGAUGUCUCUCUGUAAAUUUGACUGAAUUAAUCUAUGUUUUUGCAUUGUGGGUCAUCCAUCGAGAUGACUAUUGUUAAUAAGAGAACAGAAAUGUCUCCAUGAUAAAAUUUGUCUAGCUUGUGCGUUUUUUAAUUGCUGAACAGUCCCUUGAACUGUACUAGCUAAAAAAAUUAAAAAAAAACUAUUUUCCCCAAACUGGCUUCGAAAUCGGGGUGAUGGCGAGAGAGGGAACAAGAUUAACAGCUAUGCUAUGCUAGGAUGGUGAUUUUGAUUUAAUGGCUCUCUUUUUCUAUUUGAGUCGCUGCUUGCUCCGGUAUGCAAUAAGAAAUUUAAAAAUUAAAAGUUUCCCCCGCGAGGGCUUCAAACCAGAGCUAAUGUGCGUACAAAUAAACCAAAUAUAACAUAACUAACUUCCAUACAAAUAUAAUCAAAAUAUCUAUAUAAAUAAACCUGAUAAAGUAUAUAACCAUUUGAAUAAACCUUACAUAAGAAGACGAACACAUGGAUCCUACAAACUGGAUGCAACCCUUACCUAUCUCCACUCCAAGUAGCGUACGUCUUGAAUGGUGUAACCACGGUCAUUGUCUAUGUAAUGCGAGGCCUGCACUAGAAUCCAUUGCCUCACAAUGACGACGACAUGCAAUCCCAUAGAUAUACCCUACUAAUGGAUUAUCGAUUGCCUGGUUCUAUUUAAAUCUCAUGCAAUACUGGAUGCUAGCUGUUGUCAUUUCGCCCAUCGCUUCCAUGAUGCCCUAGUGGUACCCUAUGAAAGGUCCUAAUAUGGCUAGAGGGGGGGUGAAUAGCCUAUUUAGAAAUUCUACAAACUCACUAGAGCAAGAGGUUAGUAAAUAACAAAGCGAAGCUUUUUGCUCUAGCUCUAAAGGGGUGUUUGCAAGCCACCUAUCCCACAAUUCUAGUUGAUAUAAUCACUAGGCACACAAGAGCUAUGUCACUACUUGCACUAGAAGGCUACCUAAAGUUUCUAUACAAGUAAGUAAGCUACUCUAGUUUGCAGGAAUGUAAAAGAGUGGAUGAGAUAUUUAUACAACCAAGUAGGGGAUGAACCAAUCACCAAUAUAAAUAAUCAAGCACCCGGAGAAUGCCAAUCAAACACAAUUGAGACACCAAUUUUUCUCCCGAGGUUCACGUGCUUGCCGGCACGCUACGUCCCCGUUGUGUCGACCAACACUUGGUGGUUCGGUGGCUAAGAGGUGUAACACGAACCUCGUCCUCACUAGGACACCACAAGAACCUACCCAAAAGUGAGGUAGCUCAAUGACACGAGCAAUCCACUAAUGUUGCCUUUGGCUCUCUGCCGAGGUAGGCACAAACCUCUCACAAUCACCGAGAGAUGGCCACGAAAAAUCACCAACUCGUGCCAAUCCUCCUCCACUGCUCCAAGCCAUCUAGGUGGCGGCAACCACCAAGAGUAACAAGAAAACCGCAGCCAAAUCGAUCCCCAAGUGCCACUAGAUGCAAUCACUCAAGCAAAUGCACUUGGAAUCACUCCCAAUCUCACAAAGAUGUAUAAUCUAUGAAGGAGAUGAGUGGGAGGUGUUUGCUUAGGCUCACAAGGAUGUCUAGUAGUCAAGAAUGCCAAGAGAGUAAGCCAUAAGCCAGCCAAAAACUAUUUAUAAGCCCCUCAAACAAAUAGAGCUGUUGGCUCUUUUACUUGGCAGAACUCGGGGUCACCGGACGCUCUUAAAGGGGCACCGGACGCUCAACACUAGCGUCCGGUGCUCCAAAGUUAGCCACGUGUCAGCUUUUUGAAACUCAGUGUCAGAGUCUAACGGUAACCUGCAAAGCACCGAACGCUGAGCAAGAUAGCACCGGACGCGUCCGCAGAGACCUCCGCAAACUCGCAGGGUCACCGGAUGCAAGCCACCGGACACACCCUGAGCGUCCGGUGCUCACCGGACUCAUGCGCAGAGAGGGUCACCAAAACGCCCGCACACCGGACGCUGAGCACCGGACUCACUAUGGUGCAUCCGGUGCACUCUGCUACACUUGACAGUACACCGGACCCUCCCACUGGCGCAAUAGAAAAUAUGCACUUCAUUUUCUCGAAAAGCGCUGAAUCCCACCUCGCAAGCUCGGCGGGAGGGAGAGAGGAACCCAUCCUCUCUCUACCCUUCAAACUUCAACUCCCUUCUCAAAGUGUGCCAACACCACAAUGUGAAUGUUGACGGUCCUUAAUGCUCACAUUUAACCCUCAAAUAAUCAUGGAAAAGGAUCCAAAUGAAACUAACACCUAGACUUAGGGUUUUAUCUGACAGAAUUCCACGAGUUUUGGUGUUUGUCUAUUUCUGCAGGGGGUUAUCAGGAAAUACGGAAGAAAGGCCCACACGUCGAGUUUACAUAGAGAUAUUAACGUGCCGCACAAUUUUCUAUCAUCUAGAGGACUACAGAAGCCACGGGAACGAAGCGGAGGCCGAGAGGGCUCAGGGACAGGGCACCCGCCCAAGUCCUUAGGGCGCCCGCCCAGCUACUGUGUCCAAUUCGGACCCGUUUCGCGUAUUAUGCUCCACCGACCUAAAGGAUCAAGGAAAACCGUGCGAUCAAUGUCGGUUUGAUCCAACGACCUAGAUUCAUCUGAAAAGACUAUAUAAGCAAGGCCCCCUGGCCCCUGGAGAUCAUACCUCUUCUACAGAAUCAAAGCUAGGGUUUCAAUUCUUCAUCCAAGUAGAGAGGAUCCCUCUAGUUCUUCUAGUUCUACCUCUAGUUCAUCUAGAUCUAGUUCUAGUUCAUCUAGUUCUAGUUCUAGUUAGUUCUAGUUGUAGUCUAGAAAAUAGGGAGAGAGAAGAGGAGAGCGGAGGAGGAGCAGGACCUGUCGGAUCUUCCUCAACAUUGUACUUUUGCAGCAACUGGUUCGUUCUUCAUCGUUCUCCAGGUUCUUCAAUUCAUAAUUCGUGAGUUCUUUAAUUACUUUUAUUUACAUUCAAGUUAUUUAUUGGAUUUCCGCUUGCAUCAAGUGCUCUAAUCUUUGAAACAUUAGAGUAGUAAUUAAUAGAUUAGACGUGGUGUUUAGUCUUGCAAUUACCUGGAAUUGCACUCAAACCUACGGAUUGUUGUGGUAGCCCUAGGGUAGUGACAGCCCUAACGGUCGACGUAUUCCACCUCGUUUGGAUCGGUGUUUGUAGGACCGUAGUUAGACCUUCCUAGCCCCCUUCUCAUCUCUUUCUGUGGUUAGUGCUCUGAUGUCCCGAAAUAAAUAAUCUUUGAAGUAAUUCUUGAUUCUUAGAUCAACUAGAGAACUCUCAGGAAACUUCCUCUCUUCCCACCAAAAAUAAUUAUAUAGUUAUCCUUGGGCGAUCUUGGAUCUUAAUUAGUACACUCACGUUCCCUGUGGAAAAUCGAUACUCUCGAAUACUCCCGGGUGAAGGCUACAUCGGUAUCCGUGCGCUUGCGGAUUUUCCUAUUUGCGCUUAAAAUACCCAACAGUGUAAACCAACAUGUGCACGUGUGUUAGCAUUAUCACAAUCAUUUUCUUCGAAGGAGUUAAGUUAGCUCACUAGGUUCUAAAUGCAUGCACAUGAACAAUGACACCUAGUGGCACUUGAUAACCGCUUAGCCAAAGAAUUCCCCUCUUUGUAGUACGGCUAUCUAUCCUAAAUGUGAUCACACCCUCUAUGCUGUCUUGAUCACCAAAACCAAAACCCUAAGCAAUACCUUUGCCUUGAUCUCCGUAGGGUUUUGUUUUUCUCUUUCUUCUUUUCCAAGUUGAGCACUUGAUCAUCUUGUGGUCAUCACCAUCAUCACCAUGAUCAUCGCUUGCUCCAUCACUUGGCAUGUACCAACCUCAUUAAGUCUACACACACUUAGUAUAGAGGUUAGUACUAGGGUUUCAUCAAUUAUCCAAAACCAAACUAGGGCUUUCAAUCUCCCCCUUUUUAGUAAUUGAUGACAAUCCUUUUUACAAAGAUUUUCAAUAAAAUUUUCUUGAAUCCAUGUUGCUUGUCCAAGCAUUUUACCAUGUGCAAAUAUUAUGGACAAGUUUCAUAAACCCAAAUUGGUAGCAAUUGCUCCCCCUACAUAUGUGCUAAGAGUUUGGAUUGAAAGCUUGCACAUAUGCUUGAAUAGGAAAUAUAGGAGUCAAUUUCUACCAAAUGAUGCUAAGGUGUAAAGAAUGGACCUUUGAAGCGUGAUACCAAUCGGAGUUGCCAAUAUACACCAUCCUUAGCACCAUUAGUAACUAGCUAUUCACAAAACUAGAACACCUCGUGAGAUCAACAUUAUAAACAAGGUUCUAGUACCACUUGUGAAACAACUAAAAGUCUAGUUACACUACCUAUGCCUGCUAGUUCUUCAUUUCAUCAAUCAAACUCACAACUAGCAUACACCACACAAGCAAGGUAUCAGAGAGAAAAACUUCUAAAACUAAUGCAAAUGCAAGCAAACAUAUGUGAUGCACAUACAAAUGCAACAUACAAGUUUAUGAGCUUACUCCCCCUACUUGUGUGCUUCAAAAUUUUAAUUGAUCCCCUUCUUUUAUCAUGUUACUCCCCUAUCUUAAAUCUUUUGUAAUUUCUCUCCCCCUUAAGCAAAUCUUUGGGAAAUUCUCUCCCCCUUUGUCAUCAAAGACCACAAAAGGUGAGCUCAAAUUUUAGAUAGGUUAGUGUGAAACCAUGUGAAGUGAGAUCAUUUUCCCAAAUUGGUUCAAUCUAGAUUACUUGCCUAAGAUAUUUAACUCGGUUUGAUCCAAGGACAAGCUUCUUCACACCUCCAAAUAAGGGUUAUCUUGUACCAUGUUGAGUUAAACACUUAUAGCUCAUAUUCUAGAUCAAACACUAGGAUUGCAAGCCCACAAACAUGUCAUAUGCUACCACUAGAUCAAGUCAAGCAUAGAAGCAAUAGUGGUACCAUAUAAGCAUCAAAUUCAUUUGAUUUUCAUGAAUGAGCCUAAGACAUGUAAGGAAUGACUAGAUGCACUAAACAAAUCCUUAGCAAAGAUGGAUGACAUGUCAAACAAUUUCACCUUGCUUUGCUCGAAGGAGAGGCAUGUCAUAUAGUGGGGGUGCAUCAACACAUAUUUGAGAAGUCAAGUAUAUUCAAUUCAUUCUUUAGCUUGCAAAACCUCUUCUCAUCAAGUGGCUUGGUGAAUAUAUCAGCAAGGUUAUCAUCGGUGCCUAUACUCUCAAUGCAAAUGUCCCCUUUUUGUUGGUGAUCUCUUAUGAAGUGAUGGCGGACAUCUAUGUGCUUUGUUCUUGAGUAUUGAACCGGAUUGUUGGUGAGCUUCACGGCGCUUUCAUUGUCACAUAGCAAUGGCACUUGCUUGAAGUUGAUUCCAAAGUCCUUCAAAGUUGCCUUCAUCCAUAGGAUUUGUGCACAACAACUACCGGCCGCAAUGUACUCCGCUUCGGCGGUUGAUAGUGCAACACUAUUUUGUUUCUUGGAUGACCAUGAGACAAGUGAUCUACCCAAUAGUUGACAUGUGCCCGAAGUGCUUCUUCUCUCAACUUUGCAUCCCGCAUAGUCCGAAUCGGAAUAUCCAACAAGUUCAAACUAUGCACCUUUGGGAUACCACAAACCAACAUUUUGUGUAUGCUUCAAGUACCUCAAAAUUCUCUUUGUUGCUUUCAAACGACUUUCUCUUGGUGAGGCUUGAAAUCUUGCACACAUGCAUACACUAAACAUGGCAUCCGGUCUUGAUGCGGUCACAUAGAGUAGGCUUCCAAUCAUAGAUCGAUACAACUUUUGAUCCACCAUAUUUCCACUUGUGUCACUAUCUAAGCUUCCAUUUGUUCCCAUUGGAGUGCUAAUUGAUUUUGCAUCAUCCAUACCAAAUUUCUUGAGCAUAUCUUUUAUGUACUUGCCUUGACUCACAAAUGUGCCAUUCUUCAAUUGCUUGAUUUGAAGACCAAGGAAGUAACUAAGCUCUCCAAACAUUGACAUCUCAAAUUCAUUAGCCAUCAUGUUUCCAAACUCCUCACAAAACUCUUGGUUGGUUGAUCCAAAUAUGAUAUCAUCAACAUAUAUUUGCAACACAAACAAGUCCUUGCCAAUCUUCUUGGUGAAGAGAGUGGUGUCAACCUUGCCCAUCUUGAAACCUUUAGAGAGUAAUAAAUCUCUCAAUCUCUCAUACCAUGCUCUAGGUGCUUGCUUCAAACCAUAUAAUGCCUUUCUUAGCUUGUAAACAUGGUUGGGUUUCUUGUCAUCUUCAAAUCUGGGAGGUUGCUCAACAUAUACUUCUUCAUUGAUAUAGCCAUUGAGAAAUGCACUCUUCACAUCCAUUUGGUAUAGCUUGAUGUUAUGAGCACAAGCAUAGGCCAACAAGAUCCUAAUUGCUUCCAAUCUUGCAACCGGGGCAUAUGUUUCACCAAAGUCAAGACCUUCAACUUGAGUAUAGCCUUGUGCUACCAAUCUUGCUUUGUUUCUUACAACUAUCCCAUCUUGAUCUUGUUUGUUGCGAAAGACCCAUCUAGUACCAAUGACAUUAUGAUCACUAGGCCUCUCAACUAACUCCCAUACUUGAUUUCUCUUGAAAUUGUUAAGCUCUUCAUGCAUAGCAUUGACCCAAUCAACAUCUCUUAAUGCUUCAUCAAUCUUCUUUGGCUCAAUGUGAGACACAAAGGAGAAAUGCUCACAAAAUGAUGCUAAUCUUGAUCUAGUUUGCACUCCUCUUUGAAUAUCACCAAUGAUAUGAUCCAAUGGAUGAUCUCUUGCAAUGUUUGUUGGUUGGAGUAUUUGCACUUGAUUGCUUGCACUUGGUUGAUCAUGAGAUGAUGUACUAGCUUGUUGAUCAUGCACUUGAGUACCACUAGUACUAACUUGAUUUUGAUCAUGAGAACCACUAGCUUGCACAUUAGAGGUAGGAAGCACUUGAUCUUUGUCAUCUUCAACAUCAAUCACCUCUCUAGGCCUUAAAUCACCAAUAUCCAUAUUCUUCAUUGCAUCGGCCAAUUGAGUGCCUCUCACAUCAUCUAGAUUUUCAUCUUCCUCUUGAGAGCCAUUUGUUUCAUCAAAUUCAACAUCAUGCACCUCUUCAAGAGUACCACUAGCCAAAUUCCAAACUCUAUAAGCUUUGCUAGUAGUUGAGUAACCAAGCAAGAAUCCUUCAUCACGUUUCUUCUCAAAUUUACUCAAUCUAGUGCCUUUCUUCAAUAUGUAGCAUUUGCAACCAAAAACCCGAAAGUAUGCAAUGUUGGGCUUUCUUCCAUUCAAGAGCUCAUAUGGAGUCUUCUCCAUCAUUGGGUGACAAUAGAGUCGGUUGCUAUAGUAGCAAGCCAUGUUGAUUGCUUCGGCCCAAAAAGAAUGACUCACAUUGUAUUCACUCAACAUUGAUCUUGCCAUGUCAAUCAAGGUUCUAUUCUUCCUCUCAACAAGACCAUUUGAUUGUGGAGUGUACUUGGCCGAGAAUUGAUGCCUAAUACCAAACUCAUCACAAAGCUCAUCAACUCUUGUAUUCUUGAAUUCACUUCCAUUGUCACUUCUCACUUUCUUGAUGGUUGUUUCAAACUCAUAGUGUAUUCUCUUGACAAAUGAUUUGAACGUUGCAAAAGCAUCACUCUUGUCACUAAGAAAGAAUACCCAUGUAUAUCUUGUGAAAUCAUCCACUAUCACAAAUCCAUAUUUGUUUCCACCAAUACUUGUGUAUGUGGUUGGUCCAAAUAAGUCCAUGUGCAACAACUCAAAUGCCUCGCAUGUACUCAUGAUGCUCUUCUUUGGAUGAGUGUUGCCAACUUGCUUUCCGGCUUGACAUGCACUACAAAGCUUGUCUUUCUCAAAUGUGACAUCUUUCAAGCCUCUAACAAGAUCAUGCUUGACUAACUUGUUUAAUUGUUUCAUUCCAACAUGACCAAGCCUUCUAUGCCAUAACCAACCCAUGCUAGAUUUAGUGAGCAAGCAUGUUGACAAUUGAGCUUCACUAGCAUUGAAAUCAACCAAGUAUAGAUUCUCAUAUCUAAAGCCUUUGAAUAUCAAGUUUGAGCCAUCUACACUUAUGAUCUCUACAUCAUCAACUCCAAAUAUGCAUUUGAAACCAAGAUCACAAAGUUGAGCUACGGAUAAAGUUCAAGCUCUCUACUAGUAGCACAUUGGAAAUGCUCAAGUCAUUGGAUAUAGUAAUUUUACCAAGCCCUUUGACCUUGCCUUUGCCAUUGUCACCAAAUGUGAUACUAUCAACACCAUUGUCAUCAUUUGAUUUGAUUGAAUUGAACAUUUUUGAAUCACCGGUCAUGUGUUGUGUGCACCCACUAUCAAGCACCCAACGCCUUCCUCCAUCUUUAUAGUUUACCUACAAAACAAAUCAAUGUUUCUUAGGUACCCAUACUUGUUUGGGUCCUUAGAGGUUAGUGACUAAGCUUUUUGGUACCCAAAUGGCCUUCUUCUUUGGACCCACAAUUGGUGUACCAACAAACUUAGCAUGCACACCCUUCUCACCCUUGGUAAGCACAUAAUAACAAUCAAAAGGAAUGUAAGAUACAUUAGCAUUUUUCUUGUUCUUGUUCAUUUUAUUGCAAUUAAGCUCUAGGUGCCCAACUUGCUUGCAUUUGUUGCAAUACCGACCAUUGCUCUUCACAAAGCUAGGCUUGUGAGUUGCAAAAGCUUUCUUGCCAUUCUUGGGGGUAUAGCCUAAUCCCUCUUUGUUGAGAGAAAACCUUUGGCUACCCAAGCACUUUAGCAAGCGGGCCUCACCACCAUAAGCUUUUCCUAGGGCGUGAGUGAGCUCAUCCACCUCUCUCUUGAGAGUCUCAUUCUCAACUUUUAGUGAGGUAUCACAAGUGACACUAACACAAGAAGUAGAGGUAGAGUUGUUGGUGGUGGAUGAAGACCUACAAAAAGAGUUAGUGGCAACAACAAUAGGUAGGUUGGGUGAUUCUUUAAUUAAGUCACAAGUUGUGCCCACAUCACAUGAUACAACAACCUUUUCCUUGUUCUCUUCUAACAACAAGGAGUGAGCUUUCUCAAGCUUGGUGUGAGCCUUGCCAAGCUUCUCAUGGGCUUCCACUAGCCUCUCAUGAUUAGCAUUGAGCUCAUCAAAGGAUUGCUCAAGAGCUUUUAACUUCUUGGCCAAUUGUUUGCACUUCUUGUUUUUAGAUUGAAUGAGAGAAUCGACUUGUUCUAACAUGUCCAUGAGUUGUUCAUUAGUGAAUUCAUUUUCAUCAUCACUAUCACUAUCAUGUUCAUGUUCACUUUCACUUUCACUCUCAUCAUAUUGUACCUUGUGGCCCUUGGCCAUGAAGCAUGAAGGAGUGUCGAAGAGUGAUGGCUUGUUGAUAGCAAUGCUUGCAAGUGCCUUCUUAUUGGAUGCCUUGUCAUCAUCACUAGAAUCAUCAUCCGAAGAAGCAUCACUAUCCCAUGUCACAACAUAGGAUCCACCCUUCUUCUUCUUCUUGAAAACCAUCUUCUUCCAUUUCUUUUCUUUCUUCUCCUUCUUGUUCUUCUUGUCAUGCUCAUCAUUGUUGUUGGGUAUUCUUAACAUCAUUACCAAAAGUAGACUAAGUUCUCUAAAUCUAGUAACGGUGCCAAAAAUGCCAAACCUAUCCCUCACACCACUUAAGCCAAGUUGUCAUCCCCAGCAUGACAUGAGAGACGCGGUAUUGAAAUAUGCAAUUGCUCUUCUAAAUAAAUAAUGAAUGGGAUCUGCAAGCGCACAGAUUAAUACCGAUGUAGCAUUUUAACCGGGAAGUAUUCCAGGUAUCGUUAUUUAUAUUUUUACCACUGGGAAGGGAUUAGCAAUCAUCAAUAUUGAUUACAGAAUAGAAUAUGAGAUUGAGCAUCUAUCAUUGCAUGUAUAAUUGAGAACAGUUAUCUAACUCUUUCAUACAGGGGUAAGUGUCACAUAAAAGAUAUAUGAAGUAAUGAAUAGUGACAAAGAUAAUUGAUCUGAUCAGCCACAUAUAAAUAUGAUAAGCACCUCAAUUAGAUACUCUAGAAAGUCAUUAGCAUGGUAUUAGAACGAAUUACAAGAAUAUUCCCUAAGUUAUUCUCAACUAUAUAGUCUAGCAUUAUCAUAAUUAGUGCAAGCAUACUUAGCAAUCAUUGUGAGACAAGACUACGCCCACGCAUAGUGAUAUUAGCAAGGUAAAUGAGAAACAUAGCAAUCACUCCCCUAUAAUAAUAUUGCUCUGCCAGCCCAAUACACGAGAGGGGGACUAUAUAAGAAUCAAUGAAGCUGUCACUAUCACGAACUACCCCACGAUCUGGCAUAUUGGGUACAAUCGCAGAUAAAUACGGUAUAAGCACCACGCCUACACAAUAUCUAUCAUUUACCCAUGGAUCCGAUGGAUAAAUGCUAUAUGAUCCUAAGCAUGUAUAUAGAUCCAAUCUAACUAAGCCAAGUACAUAACUAUGAUAAACUAAGAACAAUAUAAUCUUGAAUAUAAGCAAGUAGAGCAAAGUCAUAAGCAAUAUAUUGAAGUAGAACAAAGUCAUAUUCAUAAUAUUGAAGAACAAAGAUAAUUAGAAAGCAAUUAGAAGCACAAUUAGAGAAUUACCAAGAAUCCUCUUGAUAGAUCCAGAAACCAAUCGAAGAUUGACUCCUUCUAGUUCUAAUCCUAUGUAGCUAUGCUAAUCUAGAUAUCUAAUUGAUGUGGUGGCUCUAAUCUUGAUCAGAGGCUUCUUCUCCCUUGAGAAUAAUGAAUUAGGGUUGAGAGGCUCUCUCCUCCAGGGGCCAGGGGGUCUGGUUUUAUAGUCCCUUCAAGUGAAUGUGGGCUGUUGGAUCAAACCGACUUAGAUUGAACGGUUAUCCUUGAUCCUUUAGGUCGGUGGAGAUCUCCCACGAAGCAGAGUCCUGAUUGGACUCCAGAGGUGGGCGGGCGCCCUGCCUCUGGCCCCGUUUCGCCUCCGCUUCGGUCUCGUGGCUUCUGGAGUCUUCUAGAUGUAAGAUAAUUGCGCGGCACGUUAAUAUCUCUAAGUAAUCCCGACGUGUGGGCCUUUCUUCCAUAUUUCCUGAUAACCCCCUGCAGAAAUAGACAAACACCAAAAUUCGUGGAAUUUUGUCAGAUAAAACCCUAAUUCUAGAUGUUGAUUUCAUUUGGAUCUUUUUCUUAUUUAUUUGAUAAUUAAAUUUGAUACUUAAGGACCAUCAACAAACUCCCCCAAGCUUACCUCUUGCUCGUCCCUGAGCAAGGAUAGACUCAGCUAUGGAUCAGAAGUUGCUGCAAUAUCUUUAAAAUUUGACGGUACACAUACUUUUAAAUAAGAUCUCAUCUCUGAGUUAGAGUAAACUGUCAAGACUUAAAACUUACUUACUUUACCUCCACCAUGGGACUUGUAACUGUCACUUCUGUCUUGAGUAGUUAAAAGAUAGAACAGUCUAGCCAAGUGCCAUGUCUCUUAUUCUUGAUCAGCUAUAGCUCUGGUGUUUUUUACAGAUUUUCAAAUAAAACUUAGAGAUUCCUUGUAUGAUUCUCUCAAAUCUCUCUUUUGUGGUAUUUCUGGAUCGUUACCAAGGCAGUGAUGGUAUAUGCCUUCUCUCAAGAUAUGUAGUAUUUGUGGUAUAAAGCAUAGUGACAUUGUCUUCUCUCUCACCCUACUCUAAUAAGGCUUUAAUAUCUGGAGCUCAUAGGUGGGAGAUAAAGUAUACAUACUUACAAGACAUGUGUUGCAUAAUCAAACCAUGGAUCCAAAGAAACAAAUCAAUAAGCCAAAUCAAGAUGUGCAUGUGUGGCGAAUGAAUGAUGUAUGGUGAUGAUGGUGAUAAUAAUGGUGAAAGCCUAAUUCUACUUUUUGCUCUUUUGAGGGGAUACAUACCUUCCUUGCUUUUUGAAUUUAUGAGGAGAAUGAGAUGCUCUUCCUUUUUUUUCUUUUCUCUCAUGUGGGUAUCUUGUACCCCUAAUUCUACUAUCGGACACUUGUCCAUUUUUACCUCUCGUCUCACUCUUUUUUUUCUUUUGAGGUUCCGAGAACUUGCUCCUUUUUAUUUCCUCGUAUCUCUCUUUUUUUAGAGCACUCAUCUCUUGAGAUAAUAUAGCAAGUAGUAGUAACAAGAUAACUUGAGCAUUUAUUUCACAAGGAAAAAUAGAAAUAUUUUUGUUAUUCUCUCCCGGGUUAGGAGUAGAAUAUUUUUAGGUAGUUCUGGAGAUGGAAAUGGAUGGAUAUAUGUGGAUGGUACUUCCGGAGUAGAAGUAGCAUAUAUGAGUGAACGUGCAAGUGAAAUCUUGAUUUAACCACAUGACAAGCUCCUAAGGGACUACACAGCUUGACUACACUCAAUGCUCAUAAGCAGUAAAUAGUAAAUGUGUGGCUCAAAGUCUAGCAAGCAUGUAUAUAUGGCUGUGGUAGGAAUUUAAACUCUCAUCAUACAGGAACUCAUCAUGCAACAUUUUAAAGAUUUUCAAAGAUAAAAUUCUCCAGAAUUCUAGCAUCUCUAGGAACAGAUAAACAGCAGCUCAACCUUCCCAUAUCAUAUCCAUUAACAACUUAGACUUCAGAUCAAGUUUUCAUCCCACAAGUUUAGGUCUAGAGCAAGCUUUAAAUUAUAACAGUUAUAUCUAAACUUGAGAGAGAACUUAAAAUAUGCAAAUUAGGCAGAGCAACUAUUCAUCAUAUCCAUUUUGACUGGGACAUCAGUUACUGUUCCUUUAACCUCUUGAUCGUCUAUUUUGACUGGGACAUCAGUUACUGUUCCUUUAACCUCUUGAAAUGUCUGAUCUGCCAUCUGGAGCUGAAUGUAUGUUGGUUUU